UCUGACGAUUGCAAUUCCUGUCCUAGUCCAAGCAUUCUGUCAAACACUUCUUAGUUAUUCGCUGGUAAUUCCACAACCAUGUCGCUCAUCCCAAGCUGGUUCGGUGGCCGUCGCAGCAACGUCUUGGACCCUUUCUCCCUCGACCUCUGGGACCCCUUCAAGGACUUCCCUUUCCCUUCCUCAGCCCUCUCCGCCUCUAAUUUCCCCCAGACGUUCGGGGAGAACACUGCCUUCGUGAACACGAGAAUCGACUGGAAGGAGACCCCGGAAGCCCACGUGUUCAAGGUGGAUCUCCCCGGGCUCAAGAAGGAGGAAGUCAAGGUGGAGAUUGAGGACGAUCGAGUGCUCCAGAUAAGCGGCGAGAGGAACGUGGAGAAGGAGGACAAGAACGACACGUGGCACCGGGUGGAGAGAAGCAGCGGGAAGUUCAUGAGGAGGUUCAGGGUGCCGGAGAACGCGAGGAUGGAUCAGGUGAAGGCGUCGAUGGAGAACGGGGUGCUCACCGUCAGUGUUCCCAAGGUGGAGGAGAAGAAGCCUGAGGUCAAGGCCAUCGAGAUCUCUGGUUGAGAGUGACGAUUCUACAUAGAGGAGCGUCUGUGUGUAUGCUGUGUUACUAUGCGGGUUUCGUGUGUCCUGAGUUGGGAGGCUCGGUCCCCUGGUUUCUGAUAUGGCUAUAUAUAUUUUCCUACUACGACUCUUCAAUUGUAAUGAAAUUCGAGUUGUCAUUUCCUAACUUCUGUUUGAUGUUAUCUUGGUUCCUCAACAGUCUUUCGAUUAUGUUUUGUUCGUGGGAUGCCGCUUAUUUUGUUUCGCAUACUGCUUCGGCGGAUGGGGAGUUUAAUUAGUUUCACUCUUGUCGGAUUAAUUCAAAUUCUGGGAAGGAUCCAUCAGAAGUGCAAGUGCCACACUUUGCACAUUGGCAUCGUUUUUUCAAUUGGGUUUGGAGGUACCUGGAAUAUAGAGAAGCUGAUAACUUUGGGAUUACAACAGGGUAGAAACCAUGUUACUCCUUUUGAGCUCAGCCCAAGGUGCAGGGUUGGGUUCCUUCUGCUGCAUUCGAUCACAUUUGUCAAAUAACAGGAUAAAAUAUCUCGAUUAGCCUUUUAUUUCUAGUGAUCAUCAUCAGAUCAGAGAGAGAUGAUCAAAUUCACUAGUUCCUCUAUUGCGGUGUGCGAAGAACCACCUUUUCUGAUGCUCAACUUGAUUUGGUCUUUGAGAGCCGCAGCUCUCAGCCUCAUCUCUUUCCCUUCCUCACCAACCAUCAGCCUCCUCACAGCUUGCUCUAUCUCUUUCUGGUCUAGAUCACCCUCCAACUCCAAUCCCACCCUCCAAACGUGGCACAGGUACCUCGCGUUCACAUUCUGGUCGAACAAGCACGGUUGGCAUAUCAUCGGGACUCCUUCGGAAAUGCUUUCCAAGGUCGAGUUCCAUCCACAAUGGGUCCAAAAGCCUCCCACGGCACGGUGUGCUAAAACAUCCUUCUGCGGAGCCCAUCUUAUGACACAGCCUGUUUCUUGGAUGGCUUCUUCGAACCCUUCUGGCGACAGCUCGAUCCACUCUGAGCCUCUGACUGAGCCAGGUCGGACCACCCACAAAAAUGGCUGGCCGCUGUUCGCCAGCCCCCAAGCUGUCUCUGCAAACUCUCUUUCAUCCAUCGAAGCCAAGCUUCCUAAGCUCACAUAUAUGACCGAAUCAUUAGCUUGCUUAUCAAGCCACAACAGGCAAUCGGUUUCUUCCUCCAAUAUGCUGGUUGGUAAACUUGGAGCAACUUUGUGCAACGGCCCUAGUGAGAAAAAUGGCACAUGGUAUUGUUUCUGGACUUGGUCUGAUAACUGUUCCUCCAGGCAGUCCACUGUGUUCCAAAGAAUGGCUGAAGAUGUCUUUAUAUCGAGUGCCGUAGCUAUUACCUGCACCAUUGGUUCUGGAUCGCUUGUAAAAAGAGGCAAGUCCUUGCAUCUCAAGGGAUAAGCGCCUGGAACUGGAUCUUUCGACGAACGAUCUGUAAAGUCAUAAAAACUGCUGCUUGGCAUGUAUUGCUUAUACGAUUUCAUAGUCUGAUAAAAACAUAAAAACUAGUCCGAGAUUUGAAUAUUCCAGCAAGAUAAAAAAGCGGUGGUCCUUUUUUUCCUAUUUUGUAUUUAGUGGACAUUCUUUCUUCCUCCCUAGUCAGAUUGCUCUGCAUUAAGGCCAGAAUAUGAUCUUUCACAAGCAGUUUCAGCAUGUGUGGUGCUGUUGACUUCAUUUCCAUGCUGUCUACUCUGAUUAAAGAGGUAAUAGGUGGUUUGGACAGCUGGGCUAACAUCUAGUGAGUGUUUCGUCUUCUGGAAACCGAGUCGCUGUGAAGACCUAGUAUGCUUACCUCCUCUUUGCAGCAAGUGCUUUUUACGAAGACACAAAGGUACCCUGUUAAAGUACUACUUUGUCGAAGAAAAAGAAAAUUACGAGCCGAACUCAAAAUGUGUCAACAUGGACUAAUGGUGCGAUCUGUCAAGGGAAAAUUAUAUUUGAACCACAUUGAUUAGUUCACUCUCUAUUUAGCUUGGCUAAACAAUCUCUUCGAAUUUUGAAGAGACCCUAAAUUUUGCUGUCGCAUUUCUUUGUGAUACAAACACAAUCAAAUCAGAAGCCCUUCCAGUUUAUCGGAGUUCCACCAAAGAAAGUGCAUUCUUAACAUCCAAUUGAUGCCGCAUGCUUGUUACUCUUGAUUUCUAGUGAAAUUACUGUCAAACUACAUCACAGAGGUGACUAGAAGGUUAUUGCGCAUACUGAUAUCUGAUAGUUUAUUGUCUGUUACUAUAUGAGGAUUGAACAUACCUUUCGGGGGAAAAUAACCUUCCUUUUGGAGCCGAGGCAAUUCAGAGAAAAUCAGCUGUGUGCCGAUACUACUAGUGCGCAAAGCCAUGCUAGGAAGUUUCACAUAAUAAGCUGCGGCUUCUGCACAAUACAUCAGCGAAUCAUAAAUCACGCAAGAGAUUUUACUCUCGGUUGCUCCAUCCUGUGCCAUCAUAUCUGACAAUACUUGGCGGAGAGGUCCUUCACAGUUGGUGUUGAGAUUUGCUGUAAUAGCUGCAGCAUCCCCCGAGGAGAGGACAUCCUUCGGUAAGAAGUCGGGAAUAGAAGCAAAGGUAAAAUUGGGGAAACCAGAUGGAUGGGGAUGACUGAAGUGUGUGUGAGCUAUUACAAUAGAGAAGCCCUUGGAAUGCAGGAGGGAUCCCAAAUUGAGCAUCGGGGUUAUGUGUCCUUGAGGGGGGCAGGGGACUAGCACCAAUCUACGAUUGCUUCUCUGCCCUCGUUCCUCCAUUUCUCUCAUGUGAUUACAACCAGAGCCUCUUUCCUGGAUGAACUCGUCAAAUGAAUGGUCUUAUAUUCAAUACUGGGUCGUUGGCAAAAUGUUAAGGAAAACAAAGAGAAAUCCUCUCAUUAAUUUGUUUUUCUUGCCAGGAGAGAAAAAUAAAGAAGUGGUAAACAAAUUGGCUGUCGCACCAUGAGACAUGUGGAGGAUCACCUACCCCAGGACACCAGAAAUUUUGUUUCCUUUCACGUCUGGCUUUGUUUAAUCUCACGUGGGAAUAUUCUUUUUCUCCCGCAAGAUUUCUAGUUAAUUCGAUUCCAUCCCAAAACUUGCUCUUAUCUCUUUGCGGAUUCAAAUUAUUUUGCUGCUGAGGCGACUCCCCCUAUACGAUGGCAUUGAAGUCCACUGCUACUGACAUCACCAGAAGCUCCUUAUAUAUGAGAAAUGGGGUGGUUAUAACUUGUUUUGAACACUGGUGCUUGUAACCUUCUUGAAAAAGUCACCAUACGGAAGCAGUACCUGGUAUAUAUGAAUGUUUUGUAACUGAAACUCACAGCCUUAAGUAAGCUGACAGAGCUUGUCUUAGUCAAAGACAGCUAGAGACAGCAGGACUCAGAAGCAAAAGAGCUUCGAAGUCUGCAUCCUUUCAGACACCUUUCUAUUUCUUGAGACAAAAUCAAGUGUAUCAAAAAAAUAUACAGCUUCAAAAUUCAGCUGCUGCAAAAGUCAAACUGAUCUGGGGGGUUCUCAUGUUCUUUUUGGCAAUAUGAGAAGUGCCGAUGUUUUUUAAGUAGAAAGUUCAAAGUGAACUAGCAUCCGAAGGCCUGACAGACUGAGAUAUGAAAUCAGAUUUCUUAUCUGAAAGCUUCAUAAAGACCAAUAGUGCUCCUGCUUCUUCCUGCCGUCGAAUGACACGAGCAGUCUCAUUGGGAUUGACUUAAGAAUGAAUGUUCCUCCUGAGGAUGUUAUCUCUACAACGACAACAGGAGCAACCGAGCCUCGUCCCACUAACUAGGGACAGUAGGAAUUCUAUCAUGCUGCUGUGCUUGAUCUUUUUCUAGAUUUUCUAUGAGCUCUUCCACGUCUUUCUGGUAUUUCCCCUACUUUUAACUAAUACAUCCCAUCUUCAUUCAUAUCGCCUCGCCGGGGCACCUAAAGGCCUUUGUUCGACAUUACCUAAUGAUCUCAGACGGCCUUAUCGCAUCUGAAGGCCUUCAAGAUGUUAUGCUGAGAUCUAGUGGCCACACUUCUUUCAAUUGUAAAGCCAUGCACCUGGCAAAAUGGACAGACUAUUUGAGAUUUCCAUUGGUUGCAUAAUCUCAAGGAUCUAGAAAAACCUACUUUCUAUCAAAAUAGGUGGAGACUAAAUCACGUGUUCUCACACGGCCUUUUUAGUCUCUUUAGAAAGGUAAAACUAAAUAGUCACUCAACCUCCUCUUUACCACUAGUUAGGGAAGGCUGCAUGUUUCAAAUAACUGUUCAAAACAUCUAGAAUUCAGAGGAGUCCUAAGUUUUCUCUGCCAUUUCUUCAUUUUUUGGUGGGAAAAUGACAUAAAUCGUCCAUGAAUUUUGGUCUAAUGUGCAAUACCGUUCAUUAAUUUUUAAGUUGUUCUAUGUACCUGUUGAACUUUGAUCCAAUGUGGAAUGUCAUUCUUCAACUUUUAAUUUGUUAAAUAUGAUCUGGACUAUUGAUAGAUGUUCUAUUUAAUCUCCUAGAUUAUGUCAAAUUGACAUAAACGGAAUGACUAUAUUGAAUGUUUAUCAGUAGUUUAGGGAUUAUUAAAUAGAUUAAAAGCUUGAGGACGAUAUUGCAUAUUAAGUUCAAGGACUAUACUGUGCAAAUUAAAAGGUCAGAGAGGAUAUUGUAAUUGGAUCAAACUUUAUGGACUAUUUGAACUAUAAUCCCUUCUUUGGUUGAGAAACGAUAACAAAAAUAAGAUCCUAAACUUAAGACACUUUAUGGGAAAAGGGUAGUGGUAGAGACGUUUGUUUUAUUUUCAACAAUAACUUUCUCUUCUUCACAUUGUGAUGUAAGAAAGCUACUUCAGAUAAUAUAUGAUUUUAGGUCGUCUCACAUGGCGCAGUAUGAAUUGAUGCUUCACUGCAUUAUGCUCACAUAAAGAGCAUGCAUGUCACUGUAUUAUGCUCACAUAAAGAGCAUGCAUGUAAUUAUUGCACAAAUAAGGUCACAAAUACACAUGUUGAAUCGAUAUUUUUGGAUAGGAGGGCCAUAACCAUGAACAACGAUAUCUGGGAUUGAAUUCUCGAUGCUUUCUUGCUUUUGUCAUCAUAAGAGGAGCCGUGUUUUUUUUUUAAACGCUUAAGCGAUUAAAAAGGGGCCAACCGUGAGUAACGUAUGAUUUCGAUCAUUUCUAGGAUCAUUGAAGUUGAACAAAAACAUUCUGUAUAACACCUAUAUCACACGACAUAACGAUGAGAUGGCGCUCAACCAAAUCAAUUAUUUUCGAUUAUUAAAAUGAUCUUUAAAUGUGAAUGCGCGAUGGCAAAAAGGAACAGAAUUGACAGACAAAUAUGAGGAAGGGUAAGAGAAGGCGAGGUGGUUGAAAAUGUUACGCAGCGUCGAGAAAGAGCCAGAAGCCCAUAACCAGAACGCUCGCUCAGUCUUAAACCUCGUUUCGGAAAAAUCUCAUGAACGCGCGAGAAGACCUCCUCUUCUGCCCAUAAAUACCCAGCACGUCCCUUUCCUUCCAACAAGGACCCAGAAAGCAAGCAAAUUCCCAAGAAACUCCAAACCCGAGCAGAAAUCAAUCCCUCGCGUCCUGCAAAGUCAAGCUUCAUUCCACCGACAUAUUCAGAGACGAAGUCGCUCAUAGUUUAACUUCGGGAUUUGUUGCCGGAGGGAAUCUUUGCUUUACUUCUUGAUUUUGUUCGCUUGUCUUUUGUUUGGCUUCACUUCAGGAAUUAUUAGGGAUUUUCCUAGCCAGCAGUGUAUAUUUUAUACGCUAGUUCACGAGGACCAGCCAGGGAAGAGGAUUGACGUGAUAUUCCCUUUAAUUACUCAUCCAAAUAAAUUAUCUGAAUCAAGAUGCUGUGAACCAGGACAGCUGCCAAGAAGCACAGCCCCAGAGAGAGAGAGAGAGAUAGAGAGAGAGAGAGAGAGAGAGAGAUAUUCUCUAAAUAUUCAUUAAAUGCCGUGUCAAACUUGACCAUAGGGAGAGAGAGCGAGCUUCUCUAAUUAUUCAGCAAAUGCCGGGUCAAACUUGACCACAGUUACAUUCCUAGCUUGCGCAAAUUGAACGUUAGGACUGACCUGCUUGCUUGUCCUUCAUUGCUGGGUCUUCGCAUCCUCCGUCCCAUUACUUCUCAUCUGAUUAGACUUACAAAGAGAGUAAAACCACCCUGGAUCAGCAAAAGCCCGUCUUCAAGUGCAUAACUUCGCAUAGCAUCUGAAUAUCUUCGAUUGAAUAAAGGAUAGAGAGGAUGGAAAGUGAUGGGCAAAAUGGCAAGAAAUUGAUCCUGGUCCCAGGACCAUUCCAGGGCCACCUCACUCCCAUGCUUCAGCUGGCGACAAUCCUCAAGUCCAAGGGCUUCUCCAUCACAAUUGCUCACACACUUUUCAACAGUCCAGAUUCUUCUGCUCACCCCGAUUUCACCUUCUUAUGCAUGCCUGACGGCUUGUCUGAAGAAGAGGUUCGAAACCCCGAUCUGAUGGGCAUCAUGCUGAGGCUUAAUGUCAAUUGUGAGUCCAGCUUUAGGGAGUGCCUAACUUGGGGCACAAACCAUAUGGAGCCAGUUGACAAGAUUUGCUGCAUCAUCUACGAUGCAAUCAUGUACUUCUCGGAAGCUGUUGCCCAUGAUUUGAAGAUUCCUAGCAUUGCUUUACACACGAGCAGUGCUGCUACUACCAUAGUCCGCCCGAUUCUUCUCCAGUUAAAGGCACAAGGACACAUUCCGAUCCCAGGUACAUGCUGAAUUUCUCUUAUUUAAGUUACACUCAUUUCUUUCUUGAUUAAUAUUAUGGUUGCGGAGAAUCUUGCUCGUAUUCCAUUUUGUUUGUGGGGAUGGAUGUAUCUACAAAAAUUUAUUGCAGUUUUAAAAUCUGUAUGUGUGACCUUCAUCAUGGCCCUAUAGUCCAUGAUCCGACGAGUCUCCUCUAUGCCUAUACUUUUUUCAAGACUGGUUUCUUUGUCAUCAUCCAAGUUUGACACCCAAGCCAGAUUAUCCUGAAUGUUGUCAAACCGCCAAGUAUAAAGUCGAUGGGUUCUAGCUCACUUGUCAUUGUGCUGACUAACAAAUGCCUUGUGUUGUGCUCUAUUAGAUUCCAUGUUGCAGGCUCUGGUGCCUCUGCAUCAGCCCCUGAGGUUCAAAGACCUACCACUCUCCAAUUUUGGAAGUUUGGACUAUUUCUUGGAGUUGUUAGUCUUGGCGAGUAAUAUCAGAUCGUCUUCGGCCAUUAUAUUCAACACGAUUCACUGCCUUGAAGAGUCACCUCUGGCGCAGCUUCACCAACAGUACCAGGUUCCGAUUUUUCCAAUAGGUCCUCUGCACAAACUCGCUCCUACUUCAGCUGUUAGCUUACUGCAAGAGGAUACUGGUUGCAUUCCAUGGCUUGACAAGCAAACUCAUAAUUCAGUCAUUUAUGUGAGUUUAGGAAGUAUAGCACAUCUGGACCAAGACCAAUUGUCAGAAAUGGCUUGGGGUCUGGCAAAUAGCAAGCAGCCUUUCUUGUGGGUUAUUAGGCCUGGCUCAAUACCAGGUUCGGAAUGGAUCGAGUCAAUGGCUGAAGAAUUCAAAGAAUGUGUUAAGGACAGGGCUUGCAUUGUGAAAUGGGCACCUCAAAAAAAAGUACUGGCUCAUGAUUCGGUGGGAGGGUUUUGGAGCCACUGUGGAUGGAACUCCAUCUUGGAGAGUAUAGAUGAAGGCGUUCCGAUCAUAUGUCAACCAUGCUUCGGUGACCAAAAUGUGAAUGCGAGGUACUUGACUCUUGAAUGGAAGGUUGGAUUAGAACUGGAGGGGGAGAUAGAGAGAGGGACAGUAGAAAGAGCUGUUAGAACAUUGAUGAAGAAAAAGGAAGGUGAAGAGAUGAGGCAGAGGGUCUUGGAUUUGAAGCACAAGUGCGAUGUUAGUAUAGUUGAUGGUGGAUCUUCUUGCCAUUAUCUGAGCAAGCUAGUCGAGUUGUUGAGAUCGUUCUAGCAGCACAGAGUUGUUUGCUACUAAAGUACCGCGCGGAAUGAAGCUUGUGUAGUGCAGAAAGUGCAAAGAUUUGGUCUUCAGGCAUUGAAGAACAGAACGGAACAGAACAGAUGAUGCUUUGAUGGACUGACAGAAAUUUGCUGACUUGUCAUAUGCAAAUUUAAGUUGAUCCAAUCUCCUUUUUUUCUCUCAAACCAGUGGACCAGAUCUGAAUGGGUCGAAUUCACUUCUCCUUUCAAGUUUGAGUAAACUUAACAUGGUUAUUCAUUAUGUCACAAUUUUGAAACCUAAACAUGACAAGCUUAUAAAAUGAUAGGACACAUUUGACUUGUUUAAGAUACGAACCACUAGAACAACCAUGUCAAAUACGUACAGAUGUGUAAAAGUGUGUUCAAAUGUGCGUAAAUUUUCUUAAGUGCAUUGUCUCGUUGCAACUAACUUAUCAACUAUGUCAUCAAACUUGUCUAAACAUUUCAUAGAAAGGAUCAACCCAGGACAAAUACUAUCGUGUCCACUGCUUGAGAAUGCCCUCAUGGUGUUUUAGUGAGUUAAGAAGAAAAAGAUCAGUUACUAGAGGAAGACAGAAGCAAGGGAGGACCCGGCAAUCUUACCUGGCCUCAAGGUAGAUAAGAGACCAGGCAAAAGAAAGAAAAUAUAAUAGCAGUCUUGUACAAGCGACAUUGUUUCUUUUAUGACACAAACCUCUAUAAAGUUGACAUGAGCACACUCAAUGACAUGCCGAGUAAACGGGCUGUGUCGAUAUCUGCUCAACCUCAUUCGAGAUUGAUCAACAUGCCCUACUAUUAUGUCCGAUGAAUGUUCUUCCAGCCCAGUAAAAAUAUCCCAUAUUAACAACCUUAAUCUCUUGUCGAUCGGCAACUCUUUUUUAUCUGUUGCACUUUAAUUCAAUGUGAAAAAUGGAGAGCGCAAAGUGCUCGAGAGGGACCAUAAAUUCACUUUUCUUUAAAUUAUGAGGAGUAGCUUGAGAACGAGGAUAGACCGAUGAUUUUCCCGUUUUGACAAGCCAGUGCCAAUGAUUGGAUUCUUACUAUCUUGAUUUUAUUGUAUGGAAAUUUUCUGUGAGGCAAUUCUAUUGGUUGUUUAUUUGUGAAACAAACAAAAUAAUGUUUUAUCUUGUGCCACAUAGGAAAGUUAGAAGGACGUGGGCCACUAAAUAAAUAUGAAUGUCUUCUAAAUGAUUCAAAUGAAGACAAUGGCUUGUGGGCUAGAUCCCAUAAUCCUCUCCCCCCCCCCCCCCCACAAUGAACCCACAAGCGGUGCCAUAUGAAUAGGGCAUCUGAAGGCCUUUUAUCGACGUUACCAAACCACCUCAGACGGCCCUAUCUCAUCUCAGAAUGCCUUCGAGAAGUUAUCCUACAGUGGUGAAUGUAUUGCUGAGGUCUAGCGCUCUCUGUUUUCUAGCCAUAUACCAGGCAAAAUGGACAGACUAUAUGAGUUUAGCUUCUGCUGCAUAGUCUUAAGGAUUAAUCUUGUCUAGAUUACUGUGCAACCUCUAGCGUAGGGGGCUAAUAUCUUUUUGUUUUUUACUCUGUCCCCCUCAACUUUGUCAACGUAUCUAAAUCUGCCCUAGAUAACUGACUUUCUAUUAAAAUGGGUGAAAACUAACUUAGGUAGCGUCACACGAGUCUUUUCAGCUUUUUAGAAGGAUGAAAGUAAUUAGUCACUCAAUUUUAGCCUUUACCACUGGCAUGGAAGGUUACAUGUUUCAAACAAACUGAUCAUGUUUAGUUUAUAAUUUUACGUAGUUCUAUAUGCUCUACCAAUUUCCCCAUCCUUUGGCCAAGGAGAGAAUUGAAAUUGAAGAUUGCUGCAUGAUAUAUUAUGAAAGUUCGCCUCAUGUGGGGCCACAGAUUCGAUGCCUCAUAUUCAUUACGCUCACGUGAAUAGUAUGCAUGCAAGUAUUGAACGACAUAAGGUAAUAGACACACAGAGUUCUAUCAACAUUUUGACUUAAGCAGGCAAAAAUUCGAGCGUAUUAAACACGGAAUUUUUGGAUAGUAGAGCCAUACCAUGAACUAGGAAAAUCAAGAAUUGAAUCUUCGACCCCUUUUCACUCUUGUCACUAUUAAAGGAGUCCGUUUUCCCCAAUAACUUGACUAUCAUGAAAUAAAUCAAUAAUAUAUUUAUAACAUACGACUUAACCGUCAUUUUAAGUAACAUUGAAACUUAUGAAAAACUUUUUGUAUUACACCUACAUCACGCGACAUGUUGGUGAAUAAGCAACGACAAAAAGAAACAAAAUGGAAUCAUCGGCUGUGAUGGCUCUGCUGGAUAGGCUUUUGUGAUUCUUUGCGAGAGAGGUGAGGAGUUCGAAUCUCUUGCAAUGUAAGGAGGCUGGUGGAGUUACUUGGUGGUUUCCCAUGUUGUCCCCAUAUUUUUCUCGCCGGCUGUCGGCUUAUGGGGUUUUCUGGAUCAUAAAAAAAAAAAAACAAAAUGGAAACCCUCGAGUCCAUAAAUGAUAAACAUGUCGACAUAGUAAUCUGGUGAAACCGAAAGAGAAGUACGAGGAACGUGAAAAAGGAGACGAAAAGGCGAGUAGUUGGAAAUGACACACGUUAUGCCCAUGACCAAUGAGCAAGGCCCAGCGUCGAGAAAGAGCUAGAAGCCCAUAACCAGAACGUUGGCUCAGGCUCAAACCUCGUUCCAGAAAUCUCGGGAACGUACGAGAGGACCUCCUUUUGUCCCCGUAAAUACCCAACACGUCCCUCUCCUCCCGACAAGGAUUCAGCAAGAAAGCCAAUCACCAAGGAACUCCAAAACCGUGCAGAAAUCGAUCGGGCGUCCUCCAAAGUCAAGCUUCAGUCCCACCGACUUAUUCAGAGACCAUGUCGCUCAUUCCGAGCUGGUUCGGUGGCCGACGCAGCGACGCCCUCGACCCCUUCUCUCUCGACUUCUGGGACUCCAUCGAGGACUCCCCUUUCCCUUCGUCUUCCCUCCCCGCCUCUACUUUCCGGGAAAAUUCCGCCUUUGUCAACACCAGGAUCGACUGGCGGGAAACUCCCAAGGCCCACGUGUUCGAGGCCGAUCUUCCCGGGCUCAAGAAAGAGGAAGUGAAAGUCGAGAUCGAGGACGAUCGGGUGCUCCAGAUUAGUGGAGAGAGGAAGGUGGAGAAGGAGGACAAGAAUGACAAGUGGCAUCGAGUGGAGAGAAGCAGCGGGAAGUUCAUGAGGAGUUUCAGGCUGCCGGAGGAUGCGAAGAUGGAUCAGGUCAAGGCUUCGAUGGAGAACGGAGUGCUCACCGUCACUGUUCCCAAGGUGGAGGAGAAGAAGCCCGAGGUCAAGGCCAUUCAAAUUUCUGGUUAGAGUCUGGAAUAGUAACUUGCGAGUGCUAAUGUGAAUUCGAGGCUUCGUGUGUGCAGAGUCUGUGCGCUUCAUCUCUUUCUUGUGUUUUUGGAGAGUUGUAUGAACCGGGUGUUGUCUCUGAUACACUGAUGUAAUCUGAACUGGCAAUACUUUUCUGGAAAAAAAACUUUACGUUAAUGUUGCAAUUGCAGCUCCAUUUUAUCUGGUAAAUUUGAUUGCUCGAGUGGAUGUUUGCUUUACUCUUGAUCUUGCUUGCCUAUCUUUCAUUUGGCUUCAAAGCUUCAGGAAUUAUUUGGAUUUUUCCUAGCUAGCAGUUUGCGUAGUGUAUUAUCCACUUGUUCACGAGCACAAGCAAUACAGUGGGGACCAAAAAAGCUGCCAAUAAGAAGACAGAGAGAGAAAAACCAAGUGCUUCUUUAAAAAGUUCAAUUACUCCGAGCUUUCGCAAAUUAACUAUUUGGUGUGUCCUGUUUAUUUGUCCUCGAUUGUUGGGUCUCUUCUGCGUAGAUUUUCAAAGAGAGUAAAACUAGCCUGAAUCAGCAAAAGCCUGUGUGUGUGAGAGCUUAACUCUGCAUGGCAUUUCAUAUCUCUGAUUGGAAAAGAGAUGAAGAAGAUGGAAAAUCAAGGGCGAAAUGGUAAGAGAUUGGUCCUGGUCCCGGGACUAUUCCAGGGCCACCUCACUCCAUGCUUCAGCUGGCGAUAAUCCUCAAGUCCAAGGGCUUCUCCAUCACAGUUGCUCACAAUUUCAACAGUCCAGAUUCCUCUGUUUUCCCCUAUUUCACCUUCUUAUGCAUACCUGACGGCUUGCCUGAAGAGGAGGUUCAAAACCCUGAUCUGAUAGCCAUUAUGCUGAGGCUUAAUGUAACUGUGAGUCCAGCUUCAGGGAGUGCCUAACUAGGGGCACAAAUCAUAUGGAGCCGGGUGACAAGAUUUGCGGCAUCAUCUACAAUGCAGUAGUGUACUUCUCAGAAACCGUUGCCCACGAUUUGAAGAUUCCUAGCAUUGCUUCACACACGAGCAGUGCUGCUACUACCAUAGUCCGCUCGAUUCUUCUCCAGCUAAAGGCAUUCUGAUCCCAGGUACAUGUUGAAUUUCUCUUAUUUAAGUUACACUUAUUUCUUUGUUAAUUAAUAUUAUGGUCACGGAGAAUCUUGCUCAUAUUCCGUUUUGUUUAUGAGGAUGGAUGUAUUGCCGAUUUUUUUUUUGCAGUUUUAAAAUCUGUGUGUGACCCUCGGCAUGACCCUAUAGUUUAUGAUCCGAUGAGUCUCCUCUGUGCCUAUACCUUUUCUAAGAAUAGUUUCUCUGUCAUCAUCCAAGUUUGACACCUAUGCCAGAUUAUCCUGAGCACCGUCAAACCACUAAGUAUAUAAGCCGGUGGGUUCUAGCUCACUUGUCUCCGUGCUGACUAACAAAUGCCUUUUGAUGUGCUCUAUUAGAUUCCAUGUUGCAGGCUCCGGUGCCCCUGCGUCAGCUCCUCAGGUUCAAAGACCUACCACUCUCCAAUUUUGGAAGUUUGGACUAUUUCUUGGAGUUGGUAGUCUUGACCAGUGAUAUGAGGUCGUCUUUGGCCAUUAUAUUCAACACGAUUCACUGCCUUGAAGAGUCACCUCUGGCGCAGCUUUACCAACAGUACCAAGUUCCAAUUUUUCCAAUAGGCCCUCCACACAAACUCACUCCUACCUCAGCUGUUAGCUUACUGUAAAGAGGAUACUGAUUGCAUUCCAUGACUUGACGAGCAAACUCAUAAUUCAGUCAUCUAUGUGAGUCUGGGAAGCAUAGCACAUCAGAACCAAGACCAGUUGUAUGAAAUGGCUUGGGGUCUGGCAAAUAGCAGGGAGCCUUUCUUAUGGGUUAUUAGGCCUGGCUCAAUUCCAGGUUCGAAAUGGAUCUAGUCGAUGGAUGAAGAAUUCACAGAAUGUGUUAAGGACAGUGGAUGCAUUGUGAAAUGGGCACCUCGGAAGAAAGUACUGGCUCACGAGGCAGUGGGAGGGUUUUGGAGCCACUGUGGAUGGCACUCUACACUGGAAAGUAUAUGUGAAGGAGUUAUGAUGAUAUGUCAACCAUGCUUUGGCGCCCAAAAGGUGAAUGCGAGGUACUUAACUCAUGAAUGGAGGGUUGGAUUAGAACUGGAGGGGAAGAUAGAGAGAGGGACAGUAGAAAGAGCUGUUAGAACAAUGAUGAAGGAAAAGGAAGGUGAAGAGAUGCGGCAGAGGGUCUUGGAUUUGGAGCACAAGUGCGAUGUUAGUAUAGGUGAUGGGGGAUCUUCUUGCCAUUAUCUGAGCGAGCUAGUUGGGUUGUUGAGAUCAUUCUAGCAGCACAGAGUUGUUACUACUAAAGCACCGUAGGGAAUGAAAUUUGUGUAGUGCAGAAAGUGCAAAGAUUGUCUUCUCACAUUGAAGAACAGAACAAAACAGGUAAUGCUUUGAUGCACCGACAGGAAUUUGUUGGCUUGUCAUAUGCAAGAUUUGGUCUUCUGGCAUUGAAAAACAGAACAGAUAAUGCUUUGAUGCGCUGACAGAAAUUUGUUGGCUUGUCACAUGCAAGUUUGAGUUGAAUCAAUCUCUUUAUUUAUUUAUUUAUUUAUUUUUUAUCUCUAACCAGUAUACCUGAUCUGAAUGGGUCAAAUUCACUUCUCCUUUCGUAUAUAAAAAUGUUGAAUAAACUUGACAUGGUUAUUCAUUAUCUCACAAUUUUGAAACAAAAACUAUGGGACACUUAUAAUUUGAUGGGACAUAUUAGAUCUGUUUAAGAUAAGGACUAUUAAAACAAACUUGUCAAAUAUGUUUAGAUGUUUAAAGGUGUGCUCAAAUGUGCACAAAUAUUCUUAGUGUGUUGUGACUAACUUGUCAACAUCAAAUUUGUCUAAACAUUUUAUAGAGAGGAUCAAUCCAAAGAUGAUAGCAGUUGUGUACAAGCAUAUUGUUUCUUUGACGACACAAACCUGUGUAAGCUUGACAUGAUGACGUGCUGAGUAAAUGGGCUAUGUUGAUGUGUGCUCAGCCUCAUCUGAGAUUUUGAUUAACAUGCCCUAAUAUUAUGUCCGACGAAUGUUCUUCUAGUCUAGAAAAAAAAAAAAAAAAAAAAAACAAACGUCAGAAAAAAGUGGAAUACCUUUACGAAUGUCCUAUAUUGAUUAGGGGUGAGCGAUUCUGGGUUCCUUAGAGGUUCCGCCUAGAACCUAGAACCUAGAACUUACUAUCAGAUACAGAUUUCUCAUUUUUUGGAACCUAGAACCUAUCCUGUCACAGAUUUUAAGGUUGAUUUUAGGAUCCAACAUGUUUUUUUUUUUCAUUUUUAAUUAAACAAAGCGAAAAUGACGCAAUAAUAAUAAAUAAGCUUGUCAUUCAUCAAAGAGAAUACACAAAACUAUCAAUAGAAGAAAAUGAAUUCUUGGCAAGAAAUUCAACUAGAUAGAAGUAAGGAUGAAUGAAUCUAAGUUACAUACAAGUUUCACUUGAAACCUACCCGUUGGAACAUGCACCUCAUUUUUUUAGAACUAGAAACCUACCUUGCAUAUCCUAGAACUUGGAAUCUAUUCUGUCAUACGUUUCAAGGUUUACCUAGGUCCCACUUAUAUUAUUAUAUGAACGAUUACAAUUCACUAAUCAUAACUUAUAUUUAGAUAUAUGAAAAAUAUGAACAUUAAUAAAGUAAAAAUCUUAGCCACAAAAUGGAAAUUCGGAUUAGUGUUUUCAGAUUAUAUACUCAUUGUUGAAUAACAUAGAAUAUUGGAAGAUCGCAUGGAGAUAUGGAUCAAGAAAAAUAUUAAAACUUAUUUCAGGUUGUAGGUUACAGAUUUCAGGUUGUAAGUUCCGAGUUUCUCCAAUUAAGAACCUAGAAUCUACUCGUUGAAAUAGAUUUAUCAUUUUUUGGAUUUUGGAACCUAUUCUGCAUAUUUUGGAACUUGCAUACUUUAGAACCUAAAACCUAUAGGUUUUCAUCGGUCCUCACUCGUCCAGUUCUCAAAUUCCAGAUUCUAUCAUGAAACCAUGUUUACCCCUAAUAUUGACAACCUUGAUCUCUUGUCAUUUGGCAUUUUCAUUUCUCUGUCGCACUUUCAUUCAACGGUGAAAAAUGAAGAGUGCAUGCUGCUGGCGAGGGACCAUAAAUUCACUCCUCUUUUCCUUAAAGUUUAUGAAAGAAUAGCUUGAAAAUGAGGACUGACUGAUGAAUUUUCCUGUUUUGACAAGCCAAUGAUGGUAAAAUCGGACUCUUAGGCACUAUUUGGUAAUCAUCCAAACAAUGCCUGAUUUUGAUUUUUUGUUCCCAGAAUCGGUUUGGGAUGAGAAUCGCAUUUGGUAAUUUUUUUUUCUGGGAACAAAUUUGUUCCUGGGACGAGAAUCAAGAAUAAAAGAAAAGUUGAUUCUUAUUCUGGGAACAAAAUUGAGAAUCAAAACUCUUCUUCUUCUCUUUUCUUCUUCUUUAUCGAUCGCCAUCCCAUGACCGCCACCCGCCGCCGUCCACCACCGGUCGCUGCUGCCCAUUGCCAUCGGUCGCCGCUGCCCGCCGCCAGUCGCCAGCGAUCGGUUCGACAAGCUCACCAAGCUAAAGCGAGGUCUGGCGAGCUCGCCGGUGGCCAAGCGGGCCUUGCCCAACUACUGGCGAGGCCGAGCUGACGAGGGCCGGCGACCGGCUUGAAAAAGAAUUAGAAUAGGAGAAAAAAGAAAAAAAAAAAGGAAAAAAAAGGAAAAAAGAAAAGAAAAAAAAUGAAAAAAUGAAAAAAUUAUUUAAAAAUUAAAAUAAAUUGAUUUGGAACAGAAUCAAUGAACACGGUACCAAAUGCAAGUAUAUGUUAAAAUCAGAAAUUUUGUACAAUUACCAAACACGUUCUUUUACUCAGAAUUAGUAUCGGGAACAGAAUAAAUAAUAAUAAUUUUUGAUCGGAAUUUGUUUUUAGGAACAUAAUCAUUACCAAGCGCGCCCUUAUUAUCAUGAUUUUAUUGUAUGGAAUCUUCUAUGGUCCAUCAGAUUGACGGAUUUUAAGGCCACAACAAAUCUUAACUGCCCGCAUUCAUGUAACCUCUAUACAAAAUGUUGUGAUACACUAAAAUUUGAAGGCAAUCACGAUAAUAGGCAAGAUACUCUUCAUUGAAUUCGGCGAUUGUUGACCGUUACGAAAUCUAUUCCAAAUGAUCCUUAGAAACACCCUAUUCUAUGAUCUCUUGAGGGACUAAUCUCUCACUGAAUCUCAUUGUGUUCGAGUUACUUAGUCCUAAACCUUUUAACAAUUUACCAAUUUACUUUUUAACCUUUCAAUUGCGAUAAUUUAGUUCUGAAGUAUUUGGUAAUUUGCUAAGAUAUUCAUUUCUAUGCAUCAUUAUUCUACUGACUUAUACAUCUUCGCUUGAAUAGUUACAUAUUUUCAUACAAGACAAUAUUUUUUCUGAUGUGUUCCACAUGCUUUUUAUAAUUUAUUUAAUAUAGUGCAUUGGAUUUUCAAAUAUGUGACUUAACUAAUGCUCGUGGUAUAAUUAAUAAUUAUGUCAGAAAAACCGAUUUCUUAUUUUCAAAAGUAAAAUAUUCAGAACCCCUUUGAUUUGGUGAUUUUUCCUCGUGGCCUCGCUUUUAAUGUAAUUUUAGCGUUACGUAAAUACCCCCUCUGUCCAAUCAGAUGAUUAGGGAUUUAGGAGGAUACUUGCACAUAUAUUGGGGGAAGGAACUCGUAGAAAAUGACGACAGCAUGCAAGAGAAAAGAAAGUAUUUUAUGUGAUGAUUACAGUAUGAUCGUGAGGAUGUGGUGAAAUCGAAUUUAUAAUUAGUUGCAUGAAUCUUAUCUUAGUUGACGUCAUGCCUAUUGCAUUUUCACUUUUAACUGACUUGUUACACCACUUGUUGUUGCCAUGUAAUGUAAUCGAUGAUGGCGUAAUCAUUGUGUACGAUGGCAUGGGCAGAAGUAAUGAUAAUUUAUUGAAAUUAUUGAAGAUGGAAUUGUGGAAAGUGAAAUAAUGAAAACGAGAUUUGGUUAAAAUUUAACGACUGUACUCGCUAUUGACUUUUUCAAUGAAGAAAAGGAACGUCUGAGAAAAAGACCGUGAGUACUAAUAGAAAAUGACAUCUCGUAGCUGGGGUUAGAAGUACCAUUGCUCUAACAUUAUUGGCCCAGUAUCAUUACCUAUUAGCAAAAUACCAUAUUUUCCUUACAGAUGGUAUUUCUCUAAAAGUAUCCGUUUGAUUGGUGGAAAGAUAAACAUGAUUCGACCAAUUAAACUAUAAGCCCAUAUGGAUCACCAAUUAAACUAUAAGCCCAUAUGGAUCUCUACAUGCAAUUCGCUCACUUUGGCAAGAGUGGACGGAAAGAGAAGGCCUUUGCUCUAUUUGCUUCUUCCUCUUUCUAGAAAUGAACAAUUGCAAAAAUAAUUUUCUUUUAUUAUUUUAUUAAUGAUAAAAUAAUAGAAUAAAGAGAUAGAUAGCCUGAUUUUAUUCCGAUAGAUUGAAAGAGUAGGAAUGGUUAAAGAGGAAAUCUCCUCUUUCUAUUUAUUGAUGAGACAAUUAUUGAUUUCUUGCCUAAUCUAAAUAAUAGAAGUUCCUUUUUAUUUUCAUAAUGUCAGCAAGAGUGUUGAUUCCGUGCAUUAAAAUCAUAGAUCCUGUUGUGACUUCCCUUGACCUUUGGAUUUGUGUCAAUCCUCUUGUUUCAACACUAGUUGGUCAUCUACUAAUUUGAUAAACUGGUGGGAUGAUUUCAAAAUCGAAUUCACUUUGUUGAUGGUGCAAUUGAUUAGCUUAUGAAUUUUGACUAAGUAUAUAGCGUGGUUCCUGAAUUUUAACUCAAUAUGCAAUGUGAUUUUCGCACUUUUAAUUUGUUUAAUAUAAAUUUUGAAUUUUUAGUAAAUAUCCGAUUUAAUCCUUAAAUAUGAGAAAAUAUUUAAUAUUAUACUUUCGUUCAUGUGUUUUAAUUGACCAACCAGGAUCUGGUGGUGCCGGAAAAGUACUGGCGAGGCCCAGUCCGCAGUUUCCAGAUGGACCAACCGGGUUCGCCAUUUCGCUUGAACGGUCGUCCGCCGAAACUCGGAAAGACCGCGAAGGUACGAGAAUGAUCCUCUCUUUCCUAUUUAACUCCCUACUUCCCUGCCCAACCCCUAUCGUUGAACGAUAGCAAUUCUCAUAAUCUACUUCACGCAUUCUAUCGGACACUUUGUCAACUCAGUCUCACGUUUUCAUUGGUAACCCAGCAAGGCAACAACCAUGUCGCUCAUCCCAAGCUGGUUCGGCGGCCGUCGCAGCAACGUUUUCGACCCUUUCUCCCUCGACCCCUGGGACCCCUUCAAGGACUUCCCUUUCCCUUCCUCAUCCCUCUCUGCCUCUAAUUUCCCUCGAACGUUCCGGGGGAACGCCGCCGCCUUCGUGAACACGAGGAUCGACUGGAAGGAGACCCCGGAAGCCCAUGUGUUCAAGACGGAUCUCCCCGGGCUCAAGAAGGAGGAAGUCAAGGUGGAGAUUGAAGACGACCGGGUGCUCCAGAUAAGUGGCAAGAGGAACGUAGAGAAGGAGGACAAGAACGACACGUGGCACCGGGUGGAGAGGAGCAGCGGCAAGUUCAUGAGGAGGUUCAGGCUGCCGGAGAACACGAGGAUGGAUCAGGUGAAGGCAUCGAUGGAGAACGGGGUGCUCACCGUGACUGUUCCCAAGGUGGAGGAGAAGAAGCCUGAGGUCAAGGCCAUUGAGAUCUCCGGUUGAGAGUUGGUGAAUCCAUGGUCCUUGUUGCGACUUAUGUCCAUAGAUAGAGCAAAUAUGCUGUCUUAUGUGUGGGUUUCGUGUGUCCUCAGCUGGGAGGCUCGGUUCCCUGGUGUCUGAUAUGGCGAUGUAUUGCCUCACUACGACUCUUUACUUGUAUUGAAAUUGGAGAUUACCAUUUCCUAACUUCUAUUUGAUGUUAUCUUGGUUCCUCAAAGCCUUUCGAUUGUGGUUUGUUCGUGGGAUGCUGCUUUUUUGAUUCGCAUACUGCUUUGUCGGACGGGAGUUAUGACUAGUUUUGUUCUUGUCGGAUGAUUAAUUCAAAUUGUGGGAAGGAUCCAUCAGAAGUGCAAGUGCCACACUUUGCACAUUGGUAUCGUUUUUUCAAUUGGGUUUGGAGGUACUUGCAAUAUAGAGAAGCUGAUAACUUUGGGAUUACAACCGGUUAGAAACCAUGUUACUCCCUAUGAGCUCAGCCCAAGGUGCGGGGUUGGGUUCCUUCUGCUGCAUUCGAUCACAUUUAUCAAAUAAUAGGAUAAAAUAUCGCAGUUAGCCUUUUAUUUCCUCGUGACAAUCAUCAGAUCAGAGAGAGAUGAUGAAAUUCACUAGUUCCUCUAUUGCAGCGUGCGAAGAACCUCCUUUUUCGAUGCUCAACUUGAUUUGGUCUUUGAAAGCCGCGGCUCUCAGCCUCAUCUCUUUCCCUUCCUCACCAGCCAUCAGCCUCCUCACAGCUUGCUCUAUCUCUUUCUGGUCUAGAUUACCCUCCAACUCCAAUCCCACCCUCCAAAGGUGGCACAAGUACCUCGCGUUCACAUUCUGGUCCAUGAAGCAGGGUCGGCAUAUCAUUGGGACUCCUUCGGAAAUGCUUUCCAAGGUUGAAUUCCAUCCACAAUGGGUCCAAAAGCCUCCCACAGCACGAUGUGCUAAAACAUCCUUCUGUGGAGCCCAUCUCACAACAUGGCCAGUAUCUCCGAUGGCUUCUUUGAAUCCUUCUGGCAACAGCUCGAUCCAUUCUGAGCCUCUGACUGAGCCAGGUCGGACCACCCACAAAAAUGGCUGGCCGCUCUUUGCCAGCCCCCAAGCUGUCUCUACAAACUCUCUUUCAUCCAUUGAAGCCAAGCUUCCUAAGCUCACAUAUAUGACUGAAUUAUUAGCUUGCUUAUCAAGCCACGACAGGCAUUCAGUUUCUUCUUCCAAUAUGCUGGUUGGUGAAGCUGGAGCAACUUUGUGCAAUGGGCCUAGUGAGAAAAAUGGCACAUGGUGUUUUUUUUGGACUUGGUCGGAUAACUGUUUCUCCAGGCAGUCCACUGUGUUCCAAAGAAUGGCUGAAGAUGUCUUGACAUCGAGCGUGGUAGCUAUUAAUCGCAUCAUUGGUUCUGGAUCACUAGUAAAAAGAGGCAAGUCCUUGCAUCUCAAGGGAUAAGCGCCUGGAACUGGAUCUUUCGACGAAUGAUCUGUAAAGUCAAAAAUACUGCUGCUUAGCAUGUGUUGCUUCUACGAUUUCGUAGUCUGAUGAAAACAUUAAAACUAGUCCGAAAUUUGAAUAUUCCAGCAAGUUAAAAAAGAGAUGGUCCUUUUAUUCCUAUUUUGUACUCAGUGGACAUUCUUUCUUCCUUCCUAGUCGGAUUGCUCUACAUAAAGGUGAGAAUAUGAUCUUUCACAAGCAGUUUCAGCAUGUGUGGUGCCGUUGACUUCACUUCCAAGCCGUCUACUCUGAUUAAACGAAGAGGUAAUAGGUGGUUUUGACAGCUGGGCUAACGUCUACUGAGUGGUUCGUCUUCUGGAAACUGAGUCGCCGUGAAGACCUAGUAUGCUUACCUUGUUUUUGCAGCAAGUGCUUUUUACGAAAACACAAAGAUUCCCUGUUAAAGUACUACUUGGUGAGUCGAAGAAAAAGAAAAUUACGAGCCAAGCUCAAAAUGUGUCAACAUGGACUAAUGAUUAGUUGACUCUCUAUUUAGCUUGGCUAAACGAUCUCCUCAAAUUUUGAAGAGACCCUAAAUUUUGCUGUCACAUUUCUUUGUGAUAAAAACACAAUUGAAUCAGAAGCCCUUCCAGUUUAUCGAAGUUCCACCAAAGAAAGUGUAUCCUUAACAUCCAAUUGAUGCCGCGUGCUUGUUACUCUUGAUUUCUAGUGAAAUUACUGUCAAACUACAUCACAGAGGUAACUAGAAGUUUAUUGCGCAUACUGAUAUCUGAUGGUUUAUUGUAUCUGUUACUAUAUGAGGAUUGAACAUACCUUUCGCUGGAAAAUAACCUUCCUUUUGGAGCCGAGGCAGUUCGGAGAAAAUCAGCUGAGUGCUGAUACUACUAGUGCGCAAAGCCAUGCUAGGAACUUUCAUAUAAUGAGCUGCGGCUUCUGCACAGUACAUGAGCGUAUCAUAAAUCACGCAAGAGAUUUUACUCUCGGUUGCUUCAUCCUGAGCCAUCAUAUCUGACAAUAGUUGGCAGAGAGGUCCUUCACAGUUGGUGUUGAGACUCGCGAAAAUAGCUGCGGCAUCCCCGGAGGAGAGGACGUCCUUCGGUAGGCAGUCAGGAAUAGACAAAAAGGUAAAAUUGGGGAAACCAAAUGGAUGGGGAUGAUUGAAGUGAGUGUGAGCUAUUACAAUAGAGAAGCCCUUGGAAUGCAGGAGGGACCCCAAAUUGAGCAUCGGGGUUAUGUGUCCUUGAAAUGGGCAGGGGACUAGCACCAAUCUACGAUUGCUUCUCUGCCCUCGUUCCUCCAUUUCUCUCAUGUCACUACAACCAGAGCCUCGUUCCUGGAUGAACUCGUCAUAUCAAUGGUCUUAUAUUCAAUACUGGGUCGUCGGUGAAAUGUUUAAGGAAAACAAAGAGAAAUCCUCUCAUUAAUUUGUUUUUCUUGCCUGGAGAGAAAAAUAGAAAAUUGGUAAACAAAUUAAUUACAUCAUUGAAGGGAGACGGGCUAAUUGAAAAUUGGCUGUCGCACCAUGAGACGUGGGGGAAACACCUACCCCAGGACACCAGAAAUUGGCUGUCGCACCAUGUCCGGCUUUGUUUAAUCUCACGAAAGAAUAUUCUUUUUCUCUGGCAAGAUUUCUAGUUGAUUUGAUUCCAUCCCAAAACUUGCUCUUAUCUCUUUGCGGAUUCAAAUUAUUUUGCUGCUGAGGCGACUCCCCCUAUGCGAUGGCAUUGAAGUCCACUGCUACUGACAUCACCAGAAGCUCGUUAUAUAUAAGAAAUGGGGAGGUUAUAACUUGUUUUAAACACUAGUGCUUAUAACUUUCUUGGCAUAGGAACUUUUCGCUGGUUUUCAUGUGAACCUUAUACACAUAAAUGUGUUAUAAAAGUUGACUUCCGGAAGGCCUAUGACACCGUAGAUUAGUGGUUCCUUGAGAGUGUGCUACUUACUUUUCAAUUCCCUGAUCAGCUGGUUUACCUCAUCAUGACCCGUGUGAGGACUCCUCAGUUUUUCAUUGCGUUGAAUGGGGAGCUUCAUGGUUUUUUUAGGGGUGUGCAAAAUACCCGGGAACCGCCCGGACCGCCCAGAACCGGAUCGGAACAGCUCGGAACCGGCGGUUCUUGAGGGAACCAGUCCGGUUCCCAGUUCCAAUUUAUGGGAACCGGUGGGUACCGGUCCUGUUCCCGGUUCCAUGGGCAGAUCCGCCCGCCCACCCACCCAGACCGGACCGGAAUCUUUUUAAUAUUAAAAAAAAAAUUACUAAAAGAAACCCUAGAUCUCAUCUCACUCCCUUCGUCUUCGGCUCCUAAUCCUAUCGCCAUUUCGUUGCAUUUACUUCUCCCACCGUCCGCAUUUCCACGUACUUAAAUUUGGUUUUUCUUUCUUUGACUUGCUUUGAUGUCACGUAGUCGUUCUAUGUUGAAAACCAAAAUUGAUUCAUGUCAAGAUCGGUUCCAUGGAUCCACCUGGGAACCGGACUGGACCGAUGGUCCGGUUCCCGGGUGGAUCCAUGCAACAAACAGGUGGAUCCCGGUUCCAAUUUUUUGGAACUGGUCCUUAGCGGGCGGUUCCUGGUUCUAGGUUGAGAACCGCCUGCUCGAACCAUGCACACCCCUAGUUUUUUUUCCCAGUGGAAGGGGCUUGUGUCGGGGGGAUCCCAUAUCUCCCUACUUAUUCACGCUAGUUAUGUAGGUACUCUAUGGGAUUCUUGGGAGAUGCUCGCGUCAGCUGGACUUCAGGUUCUUCUGAAGAUGUAAGUCCACUAGCCUUUUGCACUUGUUUUUCGCAGACGGUGUGUUUCUUUUCUGUGAAGGUCACUUGCCUUCUAUUAAGCUACUUAAAGAAGGUCUUCAGAGUUUUUCAUUAUGGAGUGACCUUAUUUCGAAUUAAAUGAAGAGCGAGGUAUUCCUCUCUAGAGGCCAACCGACUCUUCGGAUCAAAUCUUACUGGAACUUGGAUUCCAUGAGGGGCUCCUUCCAGUUCGGUAUCUAGGCGUUCCAAUCAUCUCAUCGAGGCUGGAGAAAGCGGACUAUGUUGCUCUUGUUAGGUGUAUCACCUCUAAGGUAGAAUCUUGGACACAUUGGUUCCUUUUUGUAGCUGGUCGUCUUCAACUGAUCAGAUUAGUUCUUUAUGCCAUUCAGGCCUAUUGGGUGAGUGUUUUUAUUCUGCCCGCAGCAGUGCUGGAUAAGAUUGAGCAGAUCUUUAGGCAAUUCCUCUAGAAAGGAUUUCAGUUGGGUAAAGGGGGAGUCAAAGUAUCCUGGGAGGAUGUUUGCCUUCCUAAGGUGGAAGACAAUCUGGGUAUCCAGAGGUUGCGUGAAUGUAACAAAGCGGCUAUGCUCAAACAUAUCUAGAUUUUAUUUUCAGAUAAAGAGUCUCUUUGAUGCAGAUGGAUCCACUCAACCUUCUUAAAAAUGGGGAACUUAUGGGUGGUGAAGCAGCCGACCUGUUGUUCUUGGGCUUGGAAGAAACUACUACAACUCAGGACAGAAUUCCGGCUUCGCUUCCACUGAAGGAUAGGUGAUGGUCUAUCCACGUCCCUUUGGUUCGAUAAUUGGCAUCCUAAGGGCCCGUUGAAUCUAAUUUUCAUAGAUCCGCUCAUCUAUAGCUUCGGUCUUUCUAGGUAGGCUUCAGUGGCUAAUUUCUUCUUGGAGGACGGCUAGUCUAUUGGAUCGGUGAUUCAAACAUGAGGCUCGCCACUUCCUACCUUGACUAGUGUUAUGGAUCGAUUUUGUUGGAGGGAGGCUUCUUUGGGCGUGUUCUCGAUGGCCUCGGCUUGGGAGCUUAUAAGGCGAAAGAAGGAGAGAGUUAGUUGGCAUGGUCUCAUCUGGAACAAUGCCAUCCUACCUCAGUUCUAACUGAACCUUUGGCUCAUCACCAAGUGCAGGCUACCUACACAGUCUCUUCUUAUGUCCCAUGGCGGGAUUGAUGCUGUGUCUUGCCCCUUCUGCAAAGAGGUACCAGACUCGGUCGAUCACCUCUUUUUUGGUUGUCACAUCACUUCGACUGUUGCCUUCUUUUAGGCAACUAAAUGUGGUCUUCCUUGGAGUAAUAAGCCUUGGGAGGAAAUGCUUAGUUGGGUUUCAGCCUUGCUCUUGGGCAAGGAAUUUUAUAAAUGCAUUGGUCGAUUCUCUUUCGGAGCACUCUGCCACAUCAUUUUGAAGAAUAGAAAUGAUAUUCUCUUCAGGGGUGUGCAGAUUUCUACUUCGGCUAUGAAGAAGCACCUUUUAAAGGUUGUUAAAGAUAAUGCUUGCACCUUCAAGAAUGUGGAGGAUUCCCCAAGAAAUAGAAGAGUGCAACGUUCCUGGGAAGUGGACUCGGCUAUCUUCGACGUCUGAGUUGGCCUUGCCUGGGUAGACACUUGGUGCUGCUUUGUGUCCUUCCUUGGUGUGUUAUCUUGUUUUGGUGCUAUUGGUCAAUUGGCCUUUUUUCGGCUUCCUUUCACUCAUCAUGAGCCUGUUCAUCUUGAGUGACAGUUUUUUGAAGCCGUUUGUCUGUACUUUUUGACCUUUCCCUUAAUAUUACUUACCUUACAAAAAAAAAAAACUUUCUUAAAAAAGUCACCAUACGGAAGUAGUACUUGGUAUAUAUGAAUGUUUUGUAGCAGAAACUCACAGGCUUAAGUAAGCUGACAAAGCUUGUCUUAGUCAAAGACAGUUGGAGAUAGCAGGACUCAGAAGCAAAAGAGCUUCGAAGUCUGCAUCCUUUCAGACACCUUUCUAUUUCUCGAGACAAAAUCAAGUGCAUCAAAGAAAUGUAAAGCUCCAUGAUUCAGCUGCUAUGAAAUUCAAACUAAUCAGAGGGGCUUCUCAUGUUCUUUUUUCACAAUAUGAGAAAUGCUAAUGUUUUUUGAGUAGAACGUUCAAAGAGAACUAGCAUUCGGAGGCCUGACAGAUUGAGAUAUGAAAUCAGAUUUCUUAUUUGAAAGCUUCAUAAAGACCAAUAAUGCUCUUGCUUCUUCCUGUCGUCGAAUGACACGAGCAGUCUCAUUGGGAUUGACUUAAGAAUGAAUGUUCCUCCUCAGGAUGUUAUCUCUACAACGACAACAGGAGCAACCGAGCCUCAUCCCACUAAGUGGGGUUAGUGAUAGGAAUUAUAUUAUGCUGUUGUGCUUGAUCUUUUUCUAGAUUUUCUAUGAGCUCUUCCACGUUUUUCUAGGAUUUCCCCUACUCCUUUUAACUAAUACAUCCCAUCUUUGUUCACAUUGCCUCGCCGGGGCACCUAAAGGCCUUUGUUCGACAUUACCUAAUGAUCUCAGACGGCCUUAUCUCAUCUGAAGGCCUUCUAGAUGUUAUGCUGAGAUCUAGUGGCCACACUUCUUUCAAUUGUAAAGCCAUGCACCUGGCAAAAUGGACAGACUAUUUGAGAUUUCCAUUGGUUGCAUAAUCUCAAGGAUCUAGAAAAACCUACUUUCUAUCAAAAUAGGUGGAGACUAAAUCACGUGUUCUCACACGGCCUUUUUAGUCUCUUUAGAAAGGUAAAACUAAAUAGUCACUCAACCUCCUCUUUACCACUAGUUAGGGAAGGCUGCAUGUUUCAAUAACUGUUCAAAACAUCUAGAAUUCAGAGGAUUUAUGUCAUUUUCUCUGCCAUUUCUUCAUUUUUUGGUGGGAAAAUGACAUAAAUCGUCCAUGAAUUUUGGUCUAAUGUGCAAUACCGUUCAUUAAUUUUUAAGUUGUUCUAUGUACCUGUUGAACUUUGAUCCAAUGUGGAAUGUCAUUCUUCAACUUUUAAUUUGUUAAAUAUGAUGGACUAUUGAUAGAUGUUCUAUUUAACCUCCUAGAUUAUGUCAAAUUGACAUAAACGGAAUGACUAUAUUGAACGUUUAUCAGUAGUUUAGGGAUUAUUAUAUAGAUUAAAAGCUUGAGGACGAUAUUGCAUAUUAAGUUCAAGGACUACGCUGUGCAAAUUAAAAGGUCAGAGAUGAUAUUGUAAUUGGAUCAAAGUUCAUGGACUAUUUGAACUAUAAUCCCUUCUUUGGUUGAGAAACGAUAACAAAAAUAAGAUCCCAAACUUAAGACACUUUAUGGGAAAAAGGGUAGUGACAGAGACGUUUGUUUUCUUUUCAACAAUAACUUUCUCUUAUUCACAUUGUGAUGUAAGAAAGCUAUUAUAGACAAUAUAUGGAUUUAGGUCGUCUCACGUAGCGCAGUAUGAAUUGAUGCUUCAUUGCAUUAUGCUCACAUAAAGAGCAUGCAUGUAAUUAUUGCAUAAAUAAGGUCACAAACACACAUGUUGAAUCGAUAUUUUAACUUGAGUAAGCAAUCUAGGCGAGCCUAAGACAAAAUUUUUGGAUAGGAGUGUGAUAUCUUGAAUUUCAGGAUUUUGUUUUCAAUUGAAUAAGUUGGGCUUUUUAUCGACGUGCCUAUAGCCUUUUUCUCUGGGUUGGCCACUCACGAGAUAACUAGCCUAUCAGGUGAAGCCAUUAAGGAAUUUUAACGUGAUAGAUUUGAGAAUUCGACCAGGAAUCAAUUGCUCGACCGUGCUAAUCUAUAAGAGUCGUUAUGGCAUAGUUAAAAAUCGAUUAGAGACCGGAGAUAGGUUGAUUCAACUUAGGCACGUGAUUAAGUGUGGGUGAUUCCACCUAAUUGCAAAAUUCUCGUUGAUCGACACUAGAUUGAUUUUUCUAUCGUUUUGGUAUCCUGUGUCCAUAUUUGAAACCUCGAGAUUUUCACAAUAAUCAAGAAUCGCCAAUGCGUCGAAGAGAUAUGUUGUGGCUCGAAAACAAUUGACCACAACUCAAUUGCACUAAAAAUUCCUAAAAAUUACCCGUAGAUUAUGUCACACUAAAAUCGCGUCAGAUUGAAAUUAACCAUGAAAUUGAAACUUUCUGUUAUGUCACAAUUUAUUUUAGGAACGUCGACUCAUCAUUUGAAGAAUUUUUAGCAAGUUUGGGAUUUUUACGGAAAAUCAUUUCAGACGAUUUGGAAAAUAACGGAAAUUUGGAUGGGCUAAUCGAAUGGAUUUUUGACUUCCAAAUCGAGCUACUUGGCGAAAGGAAAUUGUAGAAAUUGUAUGGGCUUCUUCUUCAUUAAAAUCGGACACCAAAUUUGUCACAACCCAAACCUCGAGCGCAUGCACAUCCCUCGGUGGUCGAUAAAAUUUUGCGACGUCCUAGGAAGUGUCGCCGACCCAUUUAGUUUAUGGCACAUGUGGAAACACAAUAACAAUCUCCAAACAACAUAAAAGUGGGAUAUAAACGUAGGAUAAUAUUUUCACAAAACACACUUAUAAUAUAGCAAUGUAUAUAUACAAAAAAGUCUAACACCAUAUGGAUCUAUUUCAAAAAGAAGAGCUUUUGGGCUAUCUACGCUCUGAGCCCCUCUUCCAUGAGACUAGAGUCUCCUCCGAUCUUGUCAGACUUCUUGAUAACCAAAGGGUGAACUGUUACCCACUGUCCAAAUUAGAUCGAAGGCCUGUUGACAUCUGGCAGGAACUAAAGAAAAACCCAUACUUCACUUCUUGCGAACCCCUGCACCUUGCUUGAUGAUCUUCCAUCUAGGGACCUGAAAAUGGUUAUACAAUAACCAGUGAGACAAUAUCUCAGCGAGUCCACUCCUUAAACCUCGAUUAGGAGAAGAAUACACCCAUGGGUAACCUAACCACAUUUCCUCAAACUCAUCUGGUACCAAUAUUCUCAUGCGCGUCAGUACCAAUUAAUUUGCAUAUAAUCGAAUGGAAAUCAUGUAUCAUUGAGACAUCUCGACAUGUAUACACAUAUAAUUAUAUAUCAUCACUGAUUCAUGGGCCUCGAUUACUAAAUCAAAUUGUUAUGAUACGUCCCAUACCGCACCACACAAUUCCAUCUUUUAAUUAAGCCCCUCAAUUUCAAUUAUUCAUGCGUCCCAAUUGAUUAUGAUCCAUUGGUCACGGCCGACUCAAUAGUUAGCGGUCUUCCGGCUUAACUGGGUUUCGUCUCGUACCAUCGAGCAUAGCAACGUUUACAUUUAGAUGGCAUUCCUCAAAGGAGCAUCGGCCCAACAUCCACUACGAUCGGCAUCUGUUGACUUGGGGUAUUCUCGAAGAAGCAUCAUCCAGCCCCAAAGGCGUGUGACGGCAUAUCAUAUCAUUCAUGCAUUCAUUCAAUUUCGGCCAACGACACCAUGUAUUGCACUCAAAUGUCUCAAUUAAAAUAGUGAUCUUAGCCUAUUUUCUUCAUAUUAUAAAUACAUGGUAAAAUAAUUGUGUGUGGUGACACGAUCAGUAGAACCAGAAAAUUUGUAUCAUCUUUUUUAAAAUCUCACUGUUUGAUAUAGUACUUAAAAACACUUUUGGUAUCCAAAACCUAACACCCGGUAUUUUUUAAUUAAAUACCAAAUUUCCGCUAUUUUGAAUUAAAUAUUCACAAUUAACAACCAUCACUCAAUUGCACAAUUUAACAGUCAAUGGCAUAAAUUGAACAUACUAUUGAAAUCAGCAUGAAAUUUCGGUCACCGGCUAUCCCGGUAUAGUUUCCGGAGAAUAUUAAAUAAUUAAUUAAAUUAUAAUUAAAUCAUUUAAAUUAAGUAUUUAAUUAAUUACUGAUUAUCAAAUUUCGCUACCAAUUAAAAUUGAUCACAACUUGACCCACUUAUUAAAAUGUCUAGCUACAUUAAUGCCUUAUAAUAACCUCAUAGGUUAACUAUUUAAUUAAAUACUCAAAUCCCUAACUAAAUAGUCUAACUACCUUAACUAACUUGUCUAACUACCUAGUUCUCCUAAUUAACUUAGCUAACUAAUUUUUACCCUAACCAAACUAAUUGUUAAUCUUAAUUAAGCCUAAUCCAACACUUAAUAAGUGUAAUCAACUCCUAAUCAAUAAUUAGGAAACUAACUCACCUAAAUUAAAAGCUAAUAACUUCUGGUGGUGGCGGAGCAAUGGCAACUAGACAUUGGCCUCCGGGGGGUGCCGGAGGGGGUCUGGUCGACCUGGCACAGGCUUGCAAGACCCUCGGCUUACUAUUGGGAAGCUGUCUUCUUGGCUGGUUCAAGCUGAGCAACGAUGGCGCAAGGUAGCAGCGUAGCGGCGCUGAUUGGCUGGUUGGUAGGUUGGUUUGGCGCUGCUGAAGUUCCGGUGGUAGGGCAAUAACAACGACGAAGAGGCGGGGUUCUAUGGUGGGGAUGGUGAUUUGAGACAGAGGAUGGGUGAGCUGUGGAGUAGCGACAACAACGGUGGACAAAGGUGCUGAGUUUCCGGCGCAUAGUACAGGGGUCGUACCGGUUGUGGCAAGCUGUCGGCCUGCUGGUGGGGGUGACUAAUUAGCAACCAAAGGCCAACUCUAGGAGAAAUGGAACAUGAAAGGCAACUGGAUUCGGGGUGAUGCUGGUUCUGAAAUCAGCAGCACCAAAAAAGAGCUCUUCUCUGUUUUUGGCUAUUGUGUGGUUGGCAAAAGGGGAAACGGGGGAGGCCGAACACUUAAAGAAGAACAAGACAAGGAAAUUUUCUAUAGGGAAAAAGAGAGGAAAAGGAAAAAAAGAGAAAGGGAGAGAGAGAGAAGUGGUUGCACGACACAAGGAGGGAGGGUUCGCACGGAUGGGGAGAGAGAAGAGAGAAAAACAGACCAUGGAAGGUCCCCCCUCCAUAUUUUCACACUUAGUCUGUUUUUCAUGGAAUAUGAGGUCCUUUCACUCUCAAGGGACCUACCACUCCCAAAUGAGUAUCCAUCCCCACAUGCACCCCAAAUGAAGUUGAAUUCCCGUUGUGUAUGUAGACCUUCGAAUUUGAAGACUUUACAUUACAUUCUUUCUUUUUUUCACUUUGCCAUUUAAUAGACUUAGAUAACAAAGAUAAGGCCUCAAUUAAAUCCUCAUAAUUCCGAUCUCCAAUGGUUUCACAUUGAAGACAAAAAAUCCAUUUAAAUUAUGGCAUUUUCCAUUCACUUAACUUGCUGCAAUUUGAAUUUCCCAUCAAAAUUUCAAGUUUAUCAAAAGAUCUUGAGAGGGUGCAUCGGCGUUCCUAGAAUUAAUUGUGAUAUGCUAGAAUUCUCAAUUUCUGAAAUCGGAUUAAAUUUCACGGUUAAUUUCAAUCUGACGUGAUUUUAACUUGAUCUAAAUUACCGGGUAAUUUUGAGGAAUUUUUGGUACAAUUGACUCGUGAUCAAUGAUUUUCGAACCACAAUGUAUAUUUUCGACUCAUUGGCAAAUCUCGAUUGUCGUGAAAAUCUUGAGAUUUUAAUUACGGGCACAGAGUACCAAAACAACAGAAAAAUCGGUUUAGUGCCGAUCGACGAGAAUUUUGCAAUUAGGUAGAAUCACCCACGCCUAAUUAUAUACUUCAAUCGAAUUGAUCUAUCUUCAGUCUCUGAUAGAUUUUCGACUGUACUGCAAUGACCCUUGCAGACUAACAUGGUCGAGUAGUCAAUUCUUAGUCGAAUUCUCAAGCCUGUUGUAUUAAAAUCUCUUAAUGACUUCUCCAAAUAGUCUAGUUAUCUCAUGAGUGAUUGGCUCAGAGAAUAACACAAUAAGCACGUGAUAAAAAGCUCGAUUUAUUCAAUUAAAAACAGACGUGGAAAAUUAGACCAUCACAAAAUUGGAGAGGAUUGCGAAAAAUUUGAAGUCCAAAAAUAAGGAAAUUCGGAGGUUGGUUUGUGGGCUGGAAUUUUGGCUUCAAAUUAGUUUAUUUGUGGAAUUAAUAUACAAGAAAGUAAUUUGAGACAUGAGGAAUAAGAUUGGAGACUAGGGGGACCAAGCAUUGAUUAUUUGAGAUAAUCCUUUGACUGUUUGCUCCUCUCUCUCAUCCAGCUUCUCGGGCACGCCUUGCCGGUCUUCAUCUUCUUCAAAAUUUUCUACCUCAGCUGAAGACUUCAUCCAUUUUUCCUUGCUUCUGUUUUGUCUGCUUUUCUUUCAUUCUGUCAAAGUCCCCCCCACCUGCUCCGAUUUGAAUUUCCUAUCAAAAUUUCUAGUUUGUCAAAAGAUCUUGAGAGGAUGUAUCGACGUUCCUAGAAUUAAUUGUGACACGGUAAAAUUCUCAAUUUCUGAAAUCGGAUUAAAUUUUAAGGUUAAUUUCAAUCUGACGCGAUUUUAACAUGAUUUAAACUACCGGGUAAUUUCGAGGAAUUUUUGGUACAAUUGACCCGCGGUCGAUGAUUUUUGAACCACAAUGUACAUCUUUGACUCAUUGGCGACUCUCGGUUAUCAUGAAAAUCUUGAGAUUUCAACUACGGGCACAGAGUACCAAAACAAUAGAAAAAUCGGUUUAGUGCCGAUCGACGGGAAUUUUGCAAUUAAGAGGAAUCACCCACGCCUAAUUAUAUAUCUCAGUCGAAUUAAUCUAUCUCCGAUCUCUAACAAAUUUUCAACUGUGCCGCAAUGACCCUUGUAGACUAACACGGUCGAGCAGUCGAUUCUUAAUCGAAUUCUCAAGCCUGUUGCAUUAAAAUCCCUUAAUGACUUCCCCAAAUAAUCUUGUUAUCUCAUGAGUGAUUAGCUCAGAGAAUAACACAAUAGACACGUUGAUAAAAAGCUCGAUUUAUUCAAUUGAAAACAGACGUGGAAAAUCAGAUUAUCACAAAAUUGGAGAGGAUUGCGAAGAAAUUGAAGUCCAAAAAUAAGAAAAUUCGGAGGUUGGUUUGUGGGCUGGAAUUUUGGCUUCAAAUUAGUUUAUUUGUGGAAUUAAUAUACAAGAAAGUAAUUUGGGACAUGAGGAAUAAGAUUGGAGACUAGGGGGACCAAGCAUUGAUUAUUUGAGAUAAUCCCUUGACUGUUUGCCCCUCUCUCUCAUCUAGCUUCUCGGGCAUGCCUUGCCAAUCUUCAUCUUCUUCGAAAUUUUCUACCUCAGCUGAAGACUUCAUCCAUUUUGCCUUACUUCUAUUUUGUCUGUUUUUCUUUCAUUCUGUCGAAGGCCCCCCCCCCCCCCCCCCCCACCUGGCUGGGAUUUCCUCUCCUCGAUCUUCCUUGCUCCCCACCAACUCAACGCUAGUGAAGCAGCCUAAUCUAGUAAACUCCAACUCCCUCGAAAGGCCCAAGUAUUGACCUUGCAGCUUCAUUUCCUUCGUUCUGCCCUCUCCACCGCUCGAUCACCACCACCGUUCAACUGCCACGAAGACGAGCGCCCCACAAUUCCUCCACUUUCUCUCUCUCUCACUGCUUUAGCCUUGAUUUCAUUUGCUCCUUUGCCACUCGUCCAACAUCAUGAUCGAAGCAGCUCAUGCUAGCUCGCGUUUCCCCUGCCCCUCUUCGCGUGGCUUCAUUUGGCCGAGUCAACCUAGCAAAUUUUCCCCCCAAUGCUAACUUCAACCCACUGACUUGAAGCCCAUCUCCAUUGAUUUUCAUACUAUCACGUCCACCAUUCAUCACCGCAACUACCACUUGUCUGUCUCCCUGUAGCAGUCAACCCCACCGAAGCCAGCUUCUCCUUUGCCAUUUCUUUCUUCUGCCAAUGAUCAGCCCACGAGCCCAAUAGCUUCUUUAACGCAAGUCCAGCCCGUUCUUUACCGUUCAGCCCAACUCUCCAUAGCCCAGCCCCCCUUUGAAUUAGAAUCAAAGCCAGCCUAGAAUCAAGCCUAGCUUCAGCUCACGUGUUUUUUUCUUCACUCUUUUUGAAGCCCGCAAGUUUAGUUGCUGCAGCCCGUGAACUUUAGCCCACCGAAGUCAGCCUAGCAGCUCGUGCAUCUCACCUCAAGCCCAGGACCAGGUCUAGCAGUUGUUGUGGGCUUGCAAGGCCUUUUUGGCUUGGUCCAAGUGUCCAUUGGCAUUGCCGAAAGUUCAAGUUUUGGCCGCCGUCGCACCACCGUCGCGGUGGACCGGUUUUCACAUUAAACCGGUGACUUUAUGCAGUAAACUCUACUUAGUAGGCUAACGACAUUUAAUGGGUGUUUAGUUUAAGUUAAUUAGGGAUUAUGUGGUUAGUUAGAUUAGAUUAGUGAUUUAACUAGUUAAUUAUGCAUGUUAGGUAGUUAGAAUGACUAAAUUAGCAUCUAGAUAGAUUAUAUUACUUAUCUAGAUUGGUUCAGAAAUUUUUCGAACCUGAAUCGAUAUUUAAUUUGGCUUUUUAGGCCCAAGUGUACAUUUUUAGUAUUUAUUAAUUAAUUUCCGUAAUUAUUUAAUUAAUUAGUUAUUUUCCGGAAAUUAGACCGGGAUAGCCAGUGACCGGAAUUUCGUGCUAAUUGCAAUUGUAUGCACGGUUUAUUUAAUUUAGUGUUUUUUUUUGGUCAAGUUAUUUAAUUUAGUGUUGAUUUAUGCAAAUUAAGUGAAAAUUUUAAUAUUGGGUAUUUAUUCUAAAAAUUGAGUAAUUUCGAUAUUUAAGCAAAAAAUGCCGGGGCGUCAAUUUUUAACACUGAAAAGGUUUUCAAACACUAUAUAAAUAGUGUGAUUUUCUAAAAGAAAAAUAUUGCAUUUUUUGCUUAGGACAACCGUGUACCCACACACGAUUAUUUUUAUUAGGUAUUUUUAACACGAAGAAAAUAGACCAAGACAUUAUUUUAAUUGAGAAAUUUAAGUGCGAAGCACAUUGCCCUUGGUCGUGAGUUAAUAAUUGUGUGGUGGUUUAUAGUUAGGGCGUGUUGAUUAUUGAAAGUUGAGGUGAUAUAUGCCCGGUUGAGGGAACUUGAUGGGUUGUGAGCGGGUAAAGGACUAAGUACUAUACGAGUAUGAGACUUUGUGUGAGUUACCUCUAGUGCUUUAUACCAUUACUUAUUCUAGUCAAGGGUUAAGUGUUACAUGGCGACCUGAGUUGCAUGGGAAUUACCUAUAGAGCCUUGUAGUAUUGUCAUGCAUAGUGAAGGGUUAAGUACCACACGAGGAUGAGACUUCGUGUGAGUCACCUUGUCACGCCCCGAUCCUUGGGUACGGGCACAUCGUUCACCCUCGGUCGAUUGCUAGCAAUAUCCCAGAACGUAUCGCCGACCCUUUUAUUUUAGAUAUGCACAUGCAGAAGCAAUUAUAAAACCCCAAACAAUAAAACAAUGUGAUAGAAUAGUAGGACUCAAAAUACUGAACUUUCAAAAACAACCACACUUAUAUACAUUGCAAACUAUAGUGCAAAUAUUACAAGAUGAAUGGUCAAGCCAGGUUUUAAAUCACAAGUUCAUAAAAUCAAGUCUGCAACAAAUACAAAGAGAUUUGCCCUAUGACUAUCUAGAUCGAUAGGAUCGUCAAUUCUUCAGGUUUCCCCUCCUUCACUUCGGGCCUCUGAUCCUUCAUUAAUGCUGUUUAAGGACCUGAAAAUGAUUAUUCAAUAACCGGUGAGACAACAUCUCAGCGAGUUCUACUUCUUAAGACCCGAUUAGGAAACCAAUAUACCUUAGGGCUGCCUAUGCACGACACGCGUCAGAUGACUUAUCUUGACCCCAGUCUCAACUUGCAAAUUAGUACAGUUCAAUAGACACCCAAACAAUCACAACAGAUCGAAAUAUCGAUCAAAUCGACCUGAUCAAUUACAUAUCAACCGGACAAUCUCUUGGUCAUUCCCAUCCAUACUAUAUAAUAUUCUAAAUAGUAUAUACUAGUCACCGAGCCACGUGCAUUCUCUAAGGCGACCUAUUCACCAAGGCGACGUACUUAGUCACCGAGCCACGUGCAUUCUCUAAGGUGCCAAGUUCGCCAAGGUGACGUACUGAUCAUUGACCACGUGCAUUCUCUAAAGCGCCGUUUUCGCCGAGACGACGUACUAAUCGCUGAGUUAGGUGUCUUUUCCAGGUGAUGUAUAUAAUAAAUAAUUUACGUGGAUCCUUUCAAGCGACCCAUUCACCAAGGUGAUGUACUUAAUUACCGAGCCACAUAUGUCCAUAAGUCACUUGCAUUCUCUUAGGCGACCUAUUCGCUAGGGUGAUGUACUUAAUCACCGAGCCACGUAUGUCCAUAAGUCAUGUGCAUUCUCUUAGGCGACCUAUUCGCCAAGGUGAUGUACUUAAUCAUUGAGUCACAUAUGUCCAUAAUUCUUUCUCAACUUUAGUAUACUCGAUAACAUCGUACCCGAUUGGUCCUAGUAAAGAGUAUAUUUAAUUUAUUCUCACGAUUUUCUCCACUUUAUAGCCCAUCAAAGCAUUACUAGCGCUAUAUACCCAUACACGUCCAUUUACCAAUCAAUUAUCCAAAUUUACUCAAUUUAGGAAUAAUUCCUAAAAUUCCAUGAUCAAUUCAAUUCAACAUAACGUAGGACUCAAAUAAAUAAACGAACUACACCACGACAAUCAGUAUAAAAUUUCGGUCGUCGGCUAUCCCAGCCUUAUUUUCGAAAAAUAAAUAAAUAAAUAAAUAAUUACAAAAAUUAAUUAAUAAAUACUAAUAAAUCCAACUUAAGCUCAUAAUGUCUAAUUGGAGCUCAAUAUGGGUCGGGAAAAAUCCGGAGAGACAUUCAAUUAACACUAGAGCAUUUCUACUCCAUAAUGACUAUGUUUAACCACCUAACAUGCAUUGCAAUUAACUAAUAAUCACUAAUCUACUUUAAUCUAACCACCUAAUCCUACUUAAUUAACACUAAUCAAUUCUUAAGCAUCAUUAGUCUACUAAGCGAUGAUUAGUGCGCUAAACUCACCCGUUUUACAAUCCGCUCGGAUUGAAACGUCGGGAAUGUCACGGGGGAUGUUUAACUCCAAAGCGGGCCUAGGGUUCGGGGCCCGGAACAUCCUCAAAGCGAGCCUAGAAACCUACUGGAAACCCACAAAAUUCUGGUCUGAUUGAGCUGCAUAAACAGAAGCAAACAAGUUAGUUUGGUGUGGGAAGGCUCGGAGAUGGACAACGGGAUGGUUUUGGGUCCAAACCGGCGGCUUGGGAGGCUUCCUCGAUCACUUGCAGUAGCUAAACAGAGGCUUGGAUGGCUGGACAGAGGGUUGAACGACGUGAGGGAGGUAGGCAAAGGGGUGGCGUGCACGGUGGAGCACUCAUGGGUGGCGGCGUGCGAACCGGCGACAGCGAGGCAGCGAUUCGACUUCCGGGUGGCGUGUGGCUUCAGCUUCUUCUCUAGUUUCUGGUUUCGCACAAAAUGGAGGGAGGGAAGGAUGUAUGGCCGGCGAAGAGAGGGUGAGGGAGAGAAGAGAUAGAGAUGAGGGGAGACAAGGGCCAUAUGGCCAAGUUUUUCCAACAAAUUGUCCCCCAAAACUUGUCUAAGAAGCUAACAUCCAAGGGUUGUCAUCCACUAGCCAUUUCCAGCUCAUUUUCCCUUCUAGAAGACCCUUGAAUUGGUCCAAAUGUUGUGGGUUGAGGGGUGUUACGAAUUUGGUAUAAAUCUCUCUCCAUUGGACACCAUUCCUCUUUUGAUUCAAUCUCAUUUGAUCUUUAUAAAUUCAAUUGAUGCAUCAUUGAUCAUCUUAGCAUUUUUUUUCUCACCCAUAUAUUCAUCAUGCUUCUCAAAUUUGUGACCAACAAUAAUCCUCGGUCUUGAUUGAACAAAAACGGUCAUAAACUGAUUUUUUCCCAAAAAGUCUUGAUUGUUAGAAAAUCUUCUGAGACUAAGUCGUGGGUCAUAGAAUUUAUUGUGACAUGACAUAAUCUUCAAUUUCUGAAAUCGGACUCAAGUUGGCGGUUAAUUUCCAAUCAACGCGUUUUUAGCGUGACCUAGGCUACUGGGUAGUUUUCAGAACUUUUUAGGGCAAAUGAUUUAUGGUCGAUUUUCUUCGAGUCACAAUGAAUCCACUUAACACGUUGGCAACUCUCGGUUGUUGUGAAAAUCUAGAGGAUUCAAUUACGGGCACAGGGUACCAAAACAAUAAGAAAAUCUAGUGCCGGUCGACGCGAAUUUUCCAAUUUAGUGGAGUUACCCACAAUCGGCCAUACAUCUUAGUCAAACCGACUUAUCUCUGAUCUCAAAUCAGUUUUAUACUGUGCUGUAACGGCCUUUAAAGAUGAGCACGAUCGAGAAACCGAUUCUUGGUCGAAUUCUCAAGUCUGUUACUUUAAGAUUCCUUGAUAGCUUACCCAGCUAGUCUAGUUAUUUCAAGAGUGAUCAACUCUGAGAACAACCCUAUAGGCGCGUCGAUGAAAUGCCCAACUUAUCCAAUCGAAAUCAGAACCUAAAAAUCAGGAUGUCACACACCUUUAGUGCCUUAUACUAGUGCCUAGUGCAAUAAAGAACUAAGUACCACAUAAUAGCAAGACUUCGCAUGAGUUAGCUAUAGUGCUUUAUAUAAUUGUUAUUUGUGGUCAAGAAUUAAGUACCGCACAAUUACCAUGCUUCGUGUAGGGUCACCUCUACAAUCUUGAGUUUGAUUUUGAGUAGGAAUAAUGAAUUGGAAUGUUGAGAGUAAAUAUCGGGUGUAGAUGGAACUACCAAUAUGAUUUACCCGCGUCUAAUUAUGGGACGAAAUUGUGUGACACAGAAUGAGACGUGUCAUAACGAUUUGGCCUUAUAAUCGGGACUCUUGUGGAUUGUUUGAUUGAAUGAUGGAUUAAUGGUGUUGAUUCAAUUGAUUGACUAAGAUUGAAUGAGACGUUCCAAAUGCUCAGGUGUUGUUACUGCACUUAUGUGACAUAUGAAUUGUGCUAACAUGCAGGAGGAAACUGAGGUGAGAUAAGUCAUCUGUUCUAAUUGUUUGGUUAUGUGGUUAUAACGUUUCUAGACGUAUUACUCUCCUAAUAAGGGCUUAGAGCGUGAACUCAUCGAGAUUUAUAUCUCACAUCAUUGUGGGCUUUAACUUUUUAGGACCGUAAAGUGGAGGAUCUAGAGUCAAGCUGAAGGGAUCUGAGGUGUAGGUCAGAUAAGAUAGCUCCUUUUGAGAACUAGUCUUUUGAAGUCUUAUGUUUAUAGACUUGUACAUGAUUCAUUCGAUUUAUAAAAGCAUGUGUUGUUUGUGAAUAUGUUGUCUUGCUUUUCUAUCCCGAGAUGGUUACUGCCAGGGGAUUUGUUAUUCGCUUCCGCAUGUGCAAGAAAAUAAAAGGGUUGGCAACUCGUCCUGGGAAGUUGCAAAUUUUUAUCGACCACCGAGGAAUGAGCAUGCGCUUGAGGAUCGGGGAGUGACAAGAAGGGCCAUAACCAUGAACAACGAAAUCUGGGAUUGAAUUCUCGAUGCUUUCUUGCUUUUGUCAUCAUCAGAGGAGCCGUGUCUUUUGAAAAAAAAAUGCUUAAGCGAUUAAAAAGGGGCCAACCAUGAGUAACAUAUGAUUUUGAUUAUUUCUAGGAUCAUUGAAGUUGAACAAAAACAUUCUGUAUAACACCUAUAUCACGUGACAUGACGAUGGGAUGGCGCUCAACCAAAUCAAUUAUUUUCGAUUAUUAAAAUGAUCUUCAAAUGUGAAUGCGCAAUGGCAAAAAGGAACAGAAUUGAUAGACAAAUAUGAGGAAGGGUAAGAGAAGGCGAAGUAGUUGAACAUGUUACGCAGCGUCGAGAAAGAGCUCGAAGCCCAUAACCAGAACGCUCGCUCAGUCUUACACCUCGUUCCGGAAAUCUCAUGAACGCGCGAGAAGACCUCUUCUCCCCAUAAAUACCCAGCACGUCCCUUUCCUUCAGACAAGGAUCCAGAAAGCAAGCAAAUUCCCAAGAAACUCCAAACCCGAGCAGAAAUCAAUCCCUCGCGUCCUGCAAAGUCAAGCUUCAUUCUACCGACUUAUUCAGAGACGAAGUCGCUCAUAGUUUAACUUCGGGAUUUGUUGCCAGAGGGAAUCUUUGCUUUACUUCUUGAUUUUGUUCGCUUGUCUUUUGUUUGGCUUCACUUCAGGAAUUAUUAGGUAUUUUCCUAGCCGGCAGUGUAUAUUUUAUCCACUAGUUCACGAGGACCAGCCAGGGAAGAGGAUUGACGUGAUAUUCCCUUCAAUUACUCAUCCAAAUAAAUUAUCUGAAUCAAGAUGCUGUGAACCAGGACAGCUGCCAAGAAGCACAAGUCGCAGAGAGAGAAAGAGAGAGAGAGAGAGAGAGAGAGAGAGAGAGAGAGAGAGAUUCUCUAAAUAUUCAUUAAAUGCCGUGUCAAACUUGACCACAGGGAGAGAGAGCGAGCUUCUUUAAAUAUUCAGCAAAUGCCGGAUCAAACUUGACCACAGCUUACAACAUGCUUCCAUCCCUAGCUUGCGCAAAUUGAACGUUAGGAGUGACUUGCCUGCUUGUCCUUCAUUGCUGGGUCUUCGCGUCCUCUGUCCCAUUACUUCUCAUCUGAUUAGACUUUCAAAGAGAGUAAAACCAGCCUGGAUCAGCAAAAGCCCGUCUUCAAGGGCAUAACUUCGCUAAGCAUCUGAAUUUCUUCGAUUGAAUAAAGGAUAGAGAGGAUGGAAAGUGAAGGGCGAAAUGGCAAGAAAUUGAUCCUGGUCCCAGGACCAUUCCAGGGCCACCUCACUCCCAUGCUUCAGCUGGCGACAAUCCUCAAGUCCAAGGGCUUCUCCAUCACAAUUGCUCAACACACAUUUCAACAGUCCAGAUUCUUCUGCUCACCCCAAUUUCACCUUCUUAUGCAUACCUGACGGCUUGUCUGAAGAAGAGGUUCGAAACCCCGAUCUGAUGGGCAUUGUGCUGAGGCUUAAUGUCAAUUGUGAGUCCAGCUUUAGGGAGUGCCUAACUCGGGGCACAAACCAUAUGGAGCCAGUUGACAAGAUUUGCUGCAUCAUCUACGAUGCAUUCGUGUACUUCUCGGAAGCUGUUGUCCGUGAUUUGAAGAUUCCUAGCAUUGCUUUACACACGAGCAGUGCUGCUACUACCAUAGUCCGCCCGAUUCUUCUCCAGUUAAAGGCACAAGGACACAUUCCGAUCCCAGGUACAUGCUGAAUUUCUCUUAUUUAAGUUACACUCAUUUCUUUCUUAAUUAAUAUUAUGGUCACGGAGAAUCUUGCUCGUAUUCCAUUUUGUUUGUGAGGAUGGAUGUAUCAACGAAAAUUUAUUAUAGUCCAUGAUCCGACGAGUCUCCUCUAUGGCUAUACUUUUUUCAAGACUGGUUUCUUUGUCAUCAUCCAAGUUUGACACCCAAGCCAGAUUAUCCCGAGUGUUGUCAAACCACGAAGUAUAAAGUCGAUGGGUUCUAGCUCACUUGUCGUUGUGCUGACUAACAAAUGCCUUGUGUUGUGCUCUAUUAGAUUCCAUGUUGCAGGCUCUGGUGCCCCUGCAUCGACCCCUGAGGUUCAAAGACCUACCACUCUCCAAUUUUGGAAGUUUGGACUAUUUCUUGGAGUUGGUAGUCUUGGUGAGUAAUAUCAGAUCCUCUUCGGCCAUUAUAUUCAACAUGAUUCACUGUCUGGAAGAGUCACCUCUGGCGCAGCUCCACCAACAGUUCCAAGUUCCGAUUUUUGCAAUAGGCCCUCUGCACAAACUCGCUCCUACCUCAGCUGUUAGCUUACUGCAAGAGGAUACUGGUUGCAUUUCAUGGCUUGACAAGCAAACUCAUAAUUCAGUUAUUUAUGUGAGUUUAGGAAGCAUAGCACAUCUGGACCAAGACCAAUUGUCAGAAAUGGCUUGGGGUCUGGCAAAUAGCAAGCAGCCUUUCUUGUGGGUUAUUAGGCCUGGCUCAAUACCAGGUUCGGAAUGGAUCGAGUCAAUGGAUGAAGAAUUCAAAGAAUGUGUUAAGGACAGGGCUUGCAUUGUGAAAUGGGCACCUCAGAAGAAAGUAUUGGCUCAUGACGCGGUGGGAGGGUUUUGGAGCCACUGUGGAUGGAACUCCACCUUGGAGAGUAUAGGUGAAGGCGUUCCAAUCAUAUGUCAACCAUGCUUCGGCGACCAAAAUGUGAAUGCGAGGUACUUGACUCAUGAAUGGAAGGUUGGAUUAGAACUGGAGGGUGAGAUAGAGAGAGGGACGGUGGAAAGAGCUGUUAGAACAUUGAUGAAGGAAAAGGAAGGUGAAGAGAUGAGGCAGAGGGUCUUGGAUUUGAAGCACAAGGUUGAAGUUAGUAUAGGUGAUGGUGGAUAUUCUUCCCAUUAUCUGAGCGAGCUGGUCGAGUUGCUGACAUCGUUCUAGCAGCACAGAGUUGUUUGUGACUUAAGGACUGCACAGUAUGAAGUUUGUGUACUGCAGAAAGUGCAGAUUUGGUCUUCUGGCGUUGAAACAGGACAGAACAGCUAUGCUUCGGAUGGAACGAUGAAAUCUGUUGGCUUAUCAUAUGCAAAUUUGUGUUAGAGCAAUCUUUGUUUUGUUCCUAACCAGCCGAGCUGAUCUGAAUGGCUCGAAUUCACUACUCCUUUCACUUGUUCAAGAUUAAUUAAGGCUGGUAGUUUAUGUUUGUCUUAUCAUAAUUGUAUCACGUAAAACUUAAUUUAACUCGAAUAUGACACGUUUAUUCAGUAUAAGACAAUUUUGAAUUCUAAACGAGAUACGCUUAUUAAAUGCAUUGUACAGCAUGAUACAUGUGCUACUUUUUAAGCUGUGGACCAUUAGAACAAACGCGUCAAAUAUGUUUGGACAUUAUCUAAAUGUGUCUAAGUAUAUAUAUUCAUACGAGAACAAAGACCGACUGAAGUUUUUACCGUUUCGGACAAUUUGUAAAAAUAUUUUAAUUUUUUCCGUUUUUUCUAUUCUUUUCUUCUUUUUUUCCCUUCUCCUUUUUUUUUUCCAACCGUGGCCAAUGAGGGUGGCUGGGCCCUUGCUAACCGCGGGUGAGGCAGUCUUCCCCAUAUUUGAGCGAGGCUGCUUCACCUGCGACCAUCGUCCGAAAGGCCGUUGCGGUCUUUGGUGAGGCUGCCUUUGCCCUCGGGCGCGAUGGGCUCACCUAGAUCUAGGGGAGGGGCAUGCGACCCUCGCCGGUGGCCACCAGGUGGCUGUCGUCUUGAUGAAGUUUCCUCCGCUCCAAGUAAAGAAUGAUUGGGGUCGUUCCUAGGAUCCAGACUUUCCUCUGGCUCAUUAAUCAUAAUAACCUCCUUACAGAGUAUGCUUUUGUUUAACAGGGCAUCACGCAAAAUGCGAAUUGCAGAUGUUUGUGGUUUUCGUAAAGAGGAUGGCCUCCAUGAUCUUCGCGACUUUUUCCUCCACUCAGGACGUCUGGAAAAGUGUCGGUAUUCCUAAUUCAUGUAUGAAGAGCUUCACAGAGCCUCUUCGCACACGGAUCAAGUUUUAUUGUGGUGCAGAAGAAGAUUUCUAGCAUCGUCGAACUUUAUCUCCCCUGGAACUUUUUGCAUAUAAAUUAAAAAUAUACAGAUGGCUCGGAUUUGGAAAACCUGGAUUAGACGGGUGCAGGAGGCAUUUUGCGUAGCCUGUCAAUUUUCACAAAUUAUUGGCUCCACCUCGUCUGUCCUUGCCGAGUUGUCGGCUCUCACUGAUAUGGAUUACAACUUGCUGUGGAUCGUGGAACUCGAAGAUUGAUUGUUGAACUCGACCCCGUGGCUUCACUCCAUUUAAAGGAUAAGAAUUCAUUCAAUGAAGAAAAAGGAAGGUGAAGAGAUGAGGCAGAGGGUCUUGGAUUUGAAGCACAAGUGCGAUGUUAGUAUAGUUGAUGGUGGAUCUUCUUGCCAUUAUCUGAGCGAGCUAGUCGAGUUGUUGAGAUCGUUCUAGCAGCACAGAGUUGUUUGCUACUAAAGCACCGCGCGGAAUGAAGCUUGUGUAGUGCAGAAAGUGCAAAGAUUUGGUCUUCAGGCAUUGAAGAACAGAACAGAACAGAACAGUGAUGUUUUGAUGGCUAACAGAGAUUGGCUGACUUGUCAUAUGCAAAUUUAAGUUGAACCAAAUUUUUACUUCUCCUUUCAAGUUUGAGUAAACUUAACAUGGUUAUUCAUUAUGUCACAAUUUUGAAACCUAAAUACGACAAGCUUAUAAUAUGACAGGACACAUUUGACCUAUUUAAGAUAUAGACCACUAGAACAAACAUGUCAAAUACGUAUAGACAUGUAAAAAAGUGUUCAAAUGUGCAUAAAUUUUCUUUAGUGCAUUGUGUCGUUGCGACUAACUUGUCAACUGGGUCGUCAAACUUGUCUAAACAUUUCAUAGAAAGGAUCAUUCCAUUACAAUUCCUAUCGAGUCCACUGUUUGAGAAUACCCUCAUGGUGGUUUAGUCAGUUAAGAAAUAAAUAAAUAAAAAAAUCAAUUGCUAGAGGAAGAUAGAAGGAAGGACCCGGUAAUCUUAGACUUUAUUUAAAUUGAUCCCACACCUAGCCUCAAGGUAGAUAAGAGACCAGGCAAAAAAGGCAAAUAUAAUAGCAGUCGUGCGCAAGCAAGUUGUUUCUUUUAUGACACGAAUCUCUAUAAACUUGACAUGAGAACAUUCAAUGACAUGUCGAGUAAAUGGGCUGUGUCGAUAUCUUCUCAACAUCAUUCGAGAUUGAUCAACAUGCUCUACUAUUGUGUGCGAUGAAUGUUCUUCCAGCCUAGUAAAAAUAUCCCAUAUUAACAACCUUAAUCUCUUGUCUGUGAAAGCUAGUACAAACAUCUAGAGGGGGUGAAUAGGUGCAAAAACAAAUUUCCCUGAGAGAAGUGUGCAACUCUAAUCAACAAUAGAUUAUGAAAAGGAAAUUAGACUCUUGUAAACAAAUUGAGUUACGAUCAAAGUAAAAGAGUGUAGGGAAGAGAAUAAGAACACAUGGUUUAUAGUGGUUUAGCUUAAUCCAAGCCUACAUCCACUCUUCCGCACUGACAGCCCACUGGCUGGAUUUUACUAUGAAUUAAAAGAAUUGUUACAGUAAAGCUCUUCAUUGAUUCCACAUUGUAGAAACUCUACUACACUUCCUCAAUGUCUCACAAAGAUAUAAACUCUCUUUUGAGUACAAGAUUUCGUUCAACAAUUGAAUUGACUAAGAACAAGGAGCUUCAGACUUUGGAAUUCUUCUAUCGCGCACACACUCGAACAACUGGAACGUCUUCCUUAUAUACUCCUUCAUGCCAUCACACCCGUUGGCACUUACCAAAUGAGUUCUUCCAAUUUACCUGUUGGACAUAAUUAAUUAUUGAGAUUUCGAGUUAUUUAAGGAAUAUGACGAUAGCUCCAAUCCUGCUUGCCCAUACAAUCAGGAUUUAGGUUUUCAUAAGUAGAACAUUCCAAGUAUAUUUUGCCAAUCAACGGAUCCAAAAUCCCUAAAUCAAUCUCAAUUUGAAUAAUGGAUUCUGACAUGCUAUAUCCAUCCAAGAGAUCUUCUUCAGUCGAUAGAAUCAAAUCCUCAACGAAAUACCCAGUUCUGGAUAAGCCUUCUUCGACGGUCUAAAAACUGUUAAUGAGGAUAGACUUUGAGUCUUGAGUCUGGCAGUCCGGAGGUCUUCAGACUUUGAUGAAAGAGUCUGCAAGUCUUCAGACUAGAUUGAUAGAAACAUUUUGUCAACUUCAAAACACUCAAGGAAGUUUUCUCCAACAUUGUCGAUUGGCACCUCUUUUUUAUCUGUUGCACUUUAAUUCAAUGUGAAAAAUGGAGAGUGCAUCGUGCUCGAGAGGGACCAUAAAUUUACUUCUCUUUUCUUUAAAUUUAUGAAAAGAAUAGCUUGGGAACGAGGAUAGAUCGAUGGUUUUCCCGUUUUGACAAGUUGGUGCCAAUGAUCGGAUUCUUACUAUCUUGAUUUUACUGUAUGUAAUUUUUCUGUGAGACAAUUUUGAUGGUUGUUUGUUUGUGAAACAAACAAAAUAAUUUUUUUUCCUUAUCUUACAUAGGAAAGUUGGAAGGAUGUGGGCCACUGUAUAAAUAUGAGUGUCUUCUAACUUAUUCUAAUGAAGACAAUGGCUUGUGGGCUAGAUCCCAUAAUACCCAACGAUGGCCCAUGUGUCCAAUGACACAAGCGGUGCCAUAUGCAUAGGGUAUCUGAAGGCCUUUAAUCAACAUUACCAAACCAUCUUGGACGGCCAUCUCUCAUCUCAGAAUGCCUUCUAGAAGUUAUCCUACGGUGGUGAAUUUAUUGUUGAGAUCUAGCGCCCGCGCUGCUUUAUGUUUGCAAGCCAUAUACUAGGCAAAAUUUAUAGACUAUAUGAGUUUAGCUUCUGUUGCAUAGUCUGUCAGAGUUUGAGGAAUAGGCCAAAAGGUGAGAACAACUUAUAAUUUCUAUAUAUUCAGUCUUAUGUUUUACAUUGUACAAGCUCCUAUUUAUAAUACAAUGAAUGUCUAGCUAUGGAAAGAAUAAAUGAAAAUACAUUAAAUCAAAUCCAAUCUUGGAUUGAUAUAAUCUAUCGGUUAUAAUUGCCCGCAAUCUUGGAUUUUUAUUUGAAAGUGUCACGUCUCGAUCCUCCGGGCUCAUGCCCAUCCCUGCUUGGUCGAUAUAAUAGCGAUGUCUCAGGACGCAUUGUCGACCCAUUUAUUUUAAUAUACGCAUGCAGAAGCAGAUAUAAAACCCCAGACAAUAAAACAAUAGGAUAAGAAAGUAGGGCAAACUUUUUCAAACUAAAACAAGCAUUUUUAUAAACGAACGAGUUUAUAUACAAUGCUAGGCUGUUUACAAAUAUAUCGGCUUAACAAAAGGGAAUUGUCCUAUGACUCUCUGAUCAGACAUGUUCGCCGAUUCUUCGGUCUCCACCUUCCCAGAUUUCGGGGCUUCCAGUCCUCCUCUCACUUCCUCUAAGGACUUGAAAAUGGUUAUAUAAUAAUCAGUGAGACAAUGUCUCAGCAAGUUCAAUCCCCUAAGACAUGAUUAGGAAGAAAAUUACGCCCUAAGGGCUGCCUAAGCACACACAGGUGUCAGAGGACUUACCUUGGCCUCAAUUCCUCCCUGUAAGUCAGUUCGAAUAAUAAAUACUGAUAAUUAUAUCACUCAAUCAAAUCGGAUCGAAUAAUCAAUCAAUCAAUCGACCCAGUCGAUUACAUGUCAUUAGGACCAUCUCUUGGUUGGCCCAUUCAAUACUAUCUAUGAAUCUAAUCAAAUCCAGGACUCCUCAUUGUAACUGAAAUAUAGUAGUAUAUUAUCCUAUCUCCAUAUGACAUAUAGAGCCAUCGAGCGGAUAUGCAUAACGUUCUAUCUCCAAGAUGACAUAUAUAGUCAUUGAGUCAUCAUAACAUACUUGUGCAUAACGUUCUAUCUCUAAGACGACAUAUGGAGUCAUCAAGCCGUUAUAACACACCGUUCUUUCUCACGAUGACAUAUAAAGUCAUCGAACUAUUAUAUCAUAUCGUCAUUUCUCCAAGAUGACAUAUAGAGUCACCGAGCCGGUACACAAUUCCUUCUCAAGAUGACAGGAGAGUCAUCGAGCUAUAAUAGUAUAACGUCCAUUCUCCAAGAUGACAUACGAAUCAUCGAGCCGUUAUAGUAUAUUGUUCCGAAGAUACAAUCAAUUUACUCUUUUUAUCAUACUCGAUAAAAAUACACGUGUAUGGGUACACGACCGGCCUUAACCAAAAUACAAGGUUUUCUUCUGAACCUCCCACUAUUUUUCGUAGUCCCAAAAUAAAUUUUUGGCACUGUAGACCGAUAUCUGGUAAUUUUCCACUUAAUUACCACAAUUAUCCAAUUUUUUGAAAGUAAUACCCACAAACACUAAUCACAAUCAAUUUGCAUAAUUAGCUACUCAAUUAGAUAAACAGAGAGCACCACUACGAUCAUCACGAAAUUCCGGUAACCGACUAUCCCGGGUUAAUUUCCAAAAAAAAAAAAAAUAAUAAAUAAAUAAUUAUGGAAAAUAUUAAAUAAAUACAAUAAAUGCAUACUUAGGCCCGCAAUGCCUAAUUAUAUGCCAGAAUGGGCUCGGAAAAUUUUCGAGACUCGUUAAAUAAAUACUAGAGUCUAUUUACUCGCUAAUUGCACUAACUAACCACCUAAUAUGCAAUGGUAAUUAAUUAAAUUCAUUAAUCUAAUCUAAUCUAAUCUAAUCUAACCACAUAAUCCAUCUUAGCCUAAACUAAUUAACCCAUAAGUACAAUUAACCUACUAAGCAAGAAUUAGUGAGUUAAACUCACUUGAUUCGCGAGCCGAUCGGUUCAAAUCGAUGGGGACGCAAUAGGGCUCGAUUUUCUCCAAAGUGGGCAUAGCUUUCGGGACUCGGAACACCUCCAAAAUGGGCCAACACAGUGUUGGAAACCCAUUGGUUUUGCUUUCUGUUUUGGGCUGCAAAAGAGAGAAAUAGAGGUGGAAAGGGGCAGUAAGGACCGGCAAAGGCAGCAAGGGUCGGUCGCGGGUCAGGGCGGACCUCAGCGGCCUCCGGCGACAGCUCACGGUGGCCCAGGCAUCCACAGUAGCCUGCUGGAGGCAUAGAUGGGGGCAGAGAUGUGGCUGCAGCGGCGAGCAUGCACGGGCGAGUGCGAGGUAGCGACGGUGCGCGAACAGCGAACGGUGGUGUGCAAGCGGGUCGGGGCUUCGAACAGCUCCUCCACUGGCUUCUACUGGUCUUCUUCAGCUGUUGGACACCGAAUAGCAAUGAGAGAGAGGGAGGAAGGAGUGUCGGCAUCUUUGAGGGAGAGAAAUGGGGCAAGAGGGGGCCUACCAAGCCUUAUUUUCUCUCUACAUGUUCCCUUGACUCAAUCACAGCGAAGGCUGGCUUCCUUGGCCUCUAUUCAGCCACCAAGGCACACUUGACAACCUUAGAGAUGGUCCAAAAUGGCUAGGCAAGGGGGAGCUACGAAUUUCCUUUAGUUCCUCUUCAAUUGGUCUUCUUUUCCUUCUUAAAUCAAGACAAUUUGGCCUCAAUAAAUUCAAUCAACACCUCAAUGAUCAAAUUGGUAUUUUUCCUCACCAAUUGAUCCCACUUGCUUUCCAAUUUUGCAAUAAAAAAAGAUCACCGAUAUUUUCUGAACAAAAACGGCCCUAGGAUGACUUUUUCCCAAAAAGUCUCGGUUUGCAGAAAAUUCUUUUGAGACUGAGUCGAUGUUCUUAGAAUUAAUUGUGACAUGAUAGAACUUUCAAUUUCUGAAAUCAGAUUCAAAUCCGCAGUUAAUUUCAAUCUGGCAUUUUUUAGCGUGACUUAAGCUAUCGAGUAACUUUUAGAAAUUUUUAGUGCAAAUGACCCGUUGUCGAUUUUCUUUGAGCCACAAUGAAUCUCUUUGACACAUUGGCGACCCUCAUUGUCGUGAAAAUUUUAAGAUUUCAAAUACGGACACAAGGUACCAAAACGAUAGAAAAAAUCAAACUAGUGUCGAUCAAUGAUAAUUUUGCAAUUUAGUGGGAUCACUCAUAUUUAACCACUCAUCUCAGUCGAACUGACCUAUCUCUGAUCUCUAAUCGAUUUACAUUUGUGCUGUAAUGAUCUUGGCAGAUGAACAUAGUCGAGCAACCGAUUAUUGGUCGAAUCCUUAAGUCUAUUUGCCUUAAAAUCCCUAAUAGCUUUCAUAGGUAGUCUAGUUAUCUCACGAGUGAUCAACUCUGAGAAUAGCAUUAUAGGCGCGUCGAUAAAAUGCCCGAUUAUUUAAUUGAAAGCAGAAUUGAAAAUCUAGGAUGUCACAGAAAGUGCUAGUACAAACACUUAGAGGGGGUAAAUAUGUGUUUAAAAUAAACCUUGUUAAAUAAUUGCAGAAUAAAAUAAGUUAUGAGCAAAGUUUGAAUAAGAACCGGAGUCUGAUAAACGAGCCACCAGACUUUUGGUAGACGUUCAAAAUCUGUUAUGUGAUGGAACAAACUUUUGAAAUAACCUGUAAGUAUGCAACAAACUUAAAUAAAAAGAGUUAAGGAAAGAGAAUGUUGCACACGAAAUUUAUAGUGGUUCGGCUUAGAUCAAGUCUACGUCUACUCUUCCACGCUAACAGCCUUCUGGCUGGAUUCCAUUAUGCGAUCAACAAGAGAUUACAAUUUUGAGUGCAAACAUUUAGUGAUAGAUCACACUAUCAUAUUAAAUCACUCUUUUGGUAUUUCUCUCACGAUUACAAACGUUUAAGCUCACAAGAGACAAGUGUAUAAUCGAAGUUCGUUUAAACUUUGGAAUUAUAAAUUCUAUGCUCCGUCUCUCACUUACUCAUUGGUCCUUGAUCUUCUUAUAUACUCCUCCACUUCUAAACUAGCCAUUGGAUAGUAUUUAGAGAAUCGUCUUCCAAUCUACUCAUUAGACAGAUCUAUAUCAAGAAGAUUUAAUAGCUGUUGAGUGACAGAAGUAGAAUCCAAAAUUGAUUUUAAUCGCUCAUACAAAUAGAAUAUUGGUUUCCAUAAGUAGAGUUUCUUCGUAUAGAAAGUUCUUGUUUUCAAGAUCCAAUUGUCAAUCAAUUAGAUUGAGUCAAUCAAAUCUAUCUUGAUGUAGAAUCCAAACCAGAUCACUAGUCGUUAUAUAUUUGGGGCUUGUAUUACGUUUUGUCAAGUUGUUUCAUUUUGAACAUGCUUCAUUUUGAAUCUGCUAUGUUCUGAACUUGAGUCUCGUUUUGGACCUUGUCAUGUUUUGGACUUAUGUCUCAUUCUGGAUGAUGUAGACUUUACAAUCUAGAUGUAAGUUUGAAUAUAUUCUGCUUUUGAACAUAUUUAGCCUUAAGGUUUGAACACGGUCUGAAUAAGUUCAACUUCAACAUAGAGUCUAUUUUCUAGUUCUUCCAAGUAUAGAUUUCAACAAUAUCCUUUACAUAUUCCAAGCCCUGGACAUCUCUUUAAAUAUUUUACAACCGUCAAGGCUGCAUUCAUAUGAGACUCCUUCAGAUUAUGCAUAAAUUGACUGAGUAAUUGCACUGCAUAACAUAUAUCUAGCCUGGUCAUGGUGAGAUAUAUAAGCUUCCCUACAAGCCUUUGAUAACGAGAUGGGUCUUUGAGUAAUGGGUUAUCAGUCUCAGAGGAUGAUUUAGCAUCAUAAUCAAUGGUAGUUAACUUGAUGUUUUGAUUAAUAGGAAUGGCAGUCGAUUAACAUCUUGAUAAGCCUAUUUCAGAUAUGAUUUCUAAAACAAAUUUCCGUUGGCUUAGAGAGAUUCCCAAGUCUGAGUGGGCAAUCUCAAUAUUGAGGAAAUACUUGGGAGGUCCCAAGUCCUUAAUGCAAAAAGUAUAAUGUAGGUAUUCUUUGAGACUCUUGAUAGCCAAUCCAUUGUUUCCCAUAAUAAGUAUAUUAUUAAUGUAUAUAAUCAGGUAGAUUGAUGACGAUCCAAGUGAAGAGAGCAUUGUUGUGCUUGGAUUGCUUGAAACCAAUGGUUGUAAGAGCUGUAAUGAACUUUGCAUACCAUUGUUGAGAAGCUUGCUUGAGCCCAUAAAAGGACUUAUGGAGCAACAAACUCUAGGCUCUCCCUAUCGUGGUAAUCUUGAUGGAAGGUCCAUAUAUAUUUUCUUAUCAAGAUCACCAUGAAGGAAGGCAUUGGGAACAUCCAUUUGAUGUAAGUCCCAAUCUCAGAAAGCAGCAACAAAAAGAAAGGAGCGAACGGUAACGUCCUCUGUGACUGGAGAGAAUGUCUCAUGAUAAUCAAAACCUCACAUUGUGUAAAGCCUUUGGCCAUUGAGUGGGCCUUAUACCAUUCAACAGAUCCAUUGGCCUUGUAUUUGAUCUAAUAUACCAAUUUGCAGCCAUUGGGUUUUCGAUGAGCACUUGAUGGGACUACAUUCCAUGUAUGACUUUUUUUUAUUAAGGCAUGCAACUCUGCUUCCAUGGCCUUUUGCCACUGUGGAUCACAAAUUGUUUCAUCAUAGGAUGAUGGCUCUAUCUCCUCGGAAAUACGACUAAUGUUGUACAUAUGGUCCAUAGACAAGCAAUCGAACAAAACAUAAGAGGAAAUAGGAUAUGAGGUACCUCUUGAGUUGAGCGGUGCAUAGAUAUAGUCCUUCGUCCACAUAUGAGGGUGAGUGAUCCGUCCUGAACGUCAUGGGGGAAUAUGAUCAGGUGUAGGAGAUGAUAAUUUUGAAGUGGAUUGUAAAGAUAAUUGGUUUGAAUCAGAACUUGCUUCGAUGUGCAUUGUUGAUUUUGCAACUGAAUGAUCUGGAGUAGAUGGGGAAUUCGCAGCGGUCUUGACCACUAGAGAAGAAGUCGGAGCAUCUAGAGGCGGGACAUGUACAUAGUGGGAAAUAGGAGAUGAAUCUUCUUCGAAUAGAAAAUGCCCAUUUUGAUGAUUCGAGCUAGAAGACUCAUUUGAAGAUGCUUCAUCCUGAAAAGGAAAAAUGUCUUCAUGGAAAAUGACAUCCCUGCUAAUAAAGAAGUUCCCUGUCGAUGGCUCAAAAACACGAUAUCCUUUCUAAAGAGUUGGAUUAUCCCAUGAAGAUGCAUCGUUUGGCUCGAGCACCCAUCUUGUCACAAGGACCCAUCUUGUCAUGAGGACUCAGGGUAGUAACAUAGUAUAGGUAGCCAAAAACCUUUAAGUGAUUAACCUCUGGCUUCAAAAGGAGUAUGUUCGUCGAGAACCUGAGUCGGCAUGCAAUUGAUCAAGUAAGUUGUUGUGAACACACAAUUUCCCUAGAAAGUCUCAAGAAUGGACGCUUGGAAUUUGAUGGCACGUGCAAGUUCCAAAAGAUAACGAUGCUUAUGCUCAACAAUCCCAUUUUGUUGAGGGAUGUAAGUGCACGUGUUUUCAUGCAUAAUUCCAUGAAAGGAAAAAAGUAAUUGACAGUCAUGACUAAAAAAUUCUUUUCCAUUAUCUGUUUGAAUAUGUUGAACAUAUUUCUCAAAUUGAUUUUUUGACAUGGUUAAAGGAUUCUUUAGAUGGAAGAGAGCUUGAUUCUUUGACUACAUAAGGAAAACCCAUGUUGCACGAGAAUGAUCACCUACAAUGGUGAGGAAGAAUUGAUACCAUCUCGAUGUGGGGUGUGAUAGGGAUCCCAAACGUCCUUAUGGGAAAAUGGGCGAGCGAUUCUUUAGCAAGAGGGUAAAUUUUGCAUUGAGGAUGUGGAAAGGAAACACUAUGGCCCAAAUGUUGAUGGGAAAUGAUAACUUUAUCAUUGGAAUAAUAUUACACAAUGAUCUUUUAUUCAUGGAAAAUUGUGAUAAAUCAAAAUUUUUGGGAAAACUAGUCCAAAAAGACAAUCCUUGCAAAAUACUACUAAAGCUCAUUAGUUUCCCAGUCGAAAGAGCUUGAAAGAGACGAGUAUUAGAAUUAAAGAGAAUACAACAAGAAUUAUUCUCACAAGCCUUUGAUAUUGAGAUACGGUUGAACUAAAACUAAGAAACAUAAAUGACAUUUCGAAGGAUAAUCAAAGGAAUUUACCAUCCCUAUCUUUGUGACAUACAUGGGAUUUCCAUUUGGAAGCUUCAUAGGGAAAUGAUUUUUAUGAGUAUGGGAGAAAAGGCUUUCAUCAUAGAUAAUAUGGUCACUAGCAUUUGAAUCAAUAAUCCAUGCAUCAUAAGAAUUAGAGUUGAGGCAACAUGAAGCUUGCCCCUUUAUCAAAAGUUUCCAGUUGUCUCAGUGCCCUCAUGAUUUGUUGAUAUUGAUUUUGUGCAAUCAAUUGAUUGUGCCCAGUGACUUGAUUAGCUGAUGAUUCAUUAUUUCCUUUCUUCCUAGGUUUGCCAUGCAAUUUCAAUAAAGUUUCCACCAUGUGAUGUGGCCACUUGCAAUAAUCACAGUAUAAUGUCCCUUUUCCUUUAUUAUUUCCUUUUAAGGAUGAUGUGGUAUUGCGAGGGUCGUGCGAUGCUUUAAAAAUAGGUGCCAUUGUGGCUUGUUGAGAGCUGAUGGCUUCAGCCAAAUAAAAGCCUUUGGAUAUUUGGAGCCUAUCAUAGACGUUCAUCCCAAAAAGAUUAGGGCUUCUUUCUCCUCCUUUGCUUGUAGCAACAGCUCGACUGCCACCUUCUCCGUGAAGACCGAGAGAUUUAUUGGCCGAUCCAAGGACAGAUGGAAGGCUGCAGGUUGAUGGUUGCCCGGAUCUGUAACUAGUGAGCCCUGGCGAGACAACCUCAGUUGAAGAUAGUUCAGAUUUGAAUGCAGCAAGGGCUAUCCCUUUUCCGGUUCGUGCAUGCUUAGCUACGGUUGCCUUUUGGCUCUCCUCUUGGACCGCUAAUUGGUAGAUUCGCUUGAGCGGUAGUGCCGGCUCCAUCGCAAGGGUUUAGGGCCUGAAUGUGAGUAGCUUUCAUUCAAUAUUAGUAGAAAAUGCAUUGCUUUCUCCCUUUCUAGCAUCGCUCGAUAUUGUCGAAGCGUUUCCUUUGGCCCCUCAAGCUACUCUUCAACGGCCUGGAGUUUGUUCCACAAGGCCGAGAGUCGGUUGAUGCAUGUUGUCACGGAUUGAUUUCCUUGUUUUAGCUCCGAGAUGGCUUGGGUGCGGGAGAAGAUUUUGUCCCAGCCGAGCUUUCCGUACAUCUCACAGAUGUUAUCCCAAAUUGCCUUCGAGUCUUCGAUUGGUGGAAGCUCGACGGCCACCUUGGGAGCCAAGCAAUUACUGAUCCAUGUCCACACGAGCUGGUUACAUCUUUGCCAGUGCUGCUGUGAGCGUCCGUCUAUCAAAAAAGGCACGGUUUCGUUGAGGAACCCAUAUUUAUCUUUGGUGACCAAUGCCCGUCGGAGAUCUGGAGCUGAGGUACUAUAGUUUUCGGGUCCACUAAGUUGUAAGAAGAUGAGUUUUUGUUCAAGGCCGUCCCUCGGCAACGUAUAGAGUGGAUUGCUUGGCUUCGAUCAACCAUCGUUGGCUAGGAUGACAUAUGGCAGGAAUUCAUGUCCUGAGAUUGGGUAGGGAUUUACUCCCUGACCUUGUGAUGUGGGCUUGGGUCCUAAGCCCGUCUGACAUCCUAGAACGUCAUCGAUAUGUGUAUUUUAUAUUACUAAUCUCUUUUAGCAUGUGGAAGCGAAAACAAAUAUUUAUGAAUAUUCUUUUAAUGAUUAAAGCCUUACAAUUAUAACCAACAUACUUAUAUAUAUAUAUAUAUAUUGUGACACCCUGAACCCUUCGUAGGUUGCCACCAGCGUCAAUGUUACACCUUAUUACCUUUCUCCUUUGAAGAAGCGUCGUAAUUCAUCGACACUUUUUUUUUUUUAUAAACAAAACGGUCCCAGCGCGACUCACUAGCGGAAGCAAAUUUAAACAUCACCAUCUCUCCCCCUACCAACCAUGAUACAAAUACACACCACUAAUCACCAUAAUUUUAUAGACAAGCCACGACACUUUAUUUACAUAUAUCUUCAAGAUGUGACUUCUUUUGGGUCGGUACAUCAAAAAGGAAAAGCUAGGACUCAGCUAAAACCUCAAAAAGAACCCUCGACCCUCUACAUCACAUGUGCACAACCCCCAUCAUAAGUGUCGGCUAACUAUCCAAAAAGAAACAGCCCCUACUUGUCACGCACAGGCCUCACACCCAGUCCGGUGUGUCAGGCGGCGGCGGUGGCAGCAUCCCUCUCAUCACCCCAUCGCGGCGAACGUGGACGGAGACAAACUCCUGGACAAUCGGGCCCCCAGCCAGGCCUAUGUCGUACGAGACAAAACAGCGCACACGUAUAUAGGUGAGUCCAGGUACAGAAGGACAACUGAACUCCUCACACUCUACCUCAACGUCGGACGGUAACCCAUAAAAUGCACCACACGUGACGGCAGGAAGCGGCAUACUGCUAAUCUGAAAUGUUGGUCCCCAAAGGGGUGAGUACAACCACUCAACAGAUAAGGAAUUUAAUAACAACUCAUCAUCAUUAUCAUCAUCAUGCAUAUCAUGCCAUGGGUGAUCAUCAUUAUUUCACAUCACAUAUCAUCAUCAUCAUCAUCCUGUCAUCAUUAUAUCAUACAUUUCAUCAUCAUCAUGGCAUCACCACAUCACGCAUGUCAUUAUUGUCAUGGCAUCAUUAUAUCAUACAUGUCAUCAUCAUCAUGACAUCAUCACAUUACACAUGACAUCGUGCCAUAUCAUAUAUCAUCAUCAUUAUCAUCAUCAUGCAUAUCAUGCCAUGGGUGAUCAUCAUUAUUUCACAUCACAUAUCAUCAUCAUCAUCCUCAUCAUCAUGCAUCUCAUCAUGCAUAUCAUGCCAUGGUUUAAUUUCCACUUUUAGCUUUCAAUUUGAUCACCACAUCACCCAUUCCUCGAAUCAUCAAUUUCAUCAUCCCCUCGAGCAAAGACAUCAUCAUGCAUAUCAUCAUGUAUAUCAUAUAUCAUCAUCAUGCAUAUCAUCAUGCAUAUCAUGCCAUGGGUGAUCAUCAUUAUUUCACAUCACAUAUCAUCAUCAUCAUCCUCAUCAUCAUGCAUCUCAUCAUGCAUAUCAUGCCAUGGUUUAAUUUCCACUUUUCUUGGCAUCGCGAGGCAUUCCCUUCGGGCAGAAACCUCCGACAGGGCUUCCGGCACCCCCACGUUCCGGGCAUCCUGAAUCUCCCAAGGCCAUCCGGCAAUGCAUCUCUAUACAUUCCGGGCAUUAUCCUCCACCACAACCACCUCCUCACUUAUCAUUAUCCACAUUUACCAUUAUUUUGAUCUCAAUUUAACAUGGCAUAUGGCGUGACAUCAAACAAGUCAUACUUGGCAUAAGAUUCACACAUGCAUCACAAUUCAAUGUCAUACAUACACCAAUAUCUUAUCAUACAUGCUACAUGGUGUAAUCAUUUAUGAAAUUUAUGGCCAAUAAAAUAAUCCAUUUUAUUUUAUUAUUUUAUUUAAAUAAAUAUUAAAUUCCAUAUCUAUAAAUUCCCAAAAUUAUAAAAAUUCAAGAAAUCAUUAAACAAACCAAUAGGAUGACAAUUUCAUGCAAAAUUCAUGGCCAAAUUGAAUUUUACACAAUCUCACCAUUUUCACAAAACAUCCUAUGAUUCUCGGAUGAAACCAGAACGCAUGGUUUUCGAAGAAAUUCAAUUAAAAUAUCCAUAUGGCCUCCAAAAAUUAUGAAAUUUUACUGAGUUAUAGCCAAGACAUUUUCGUACAACUUUCAUGAGAACUCCAAGCCAGAUUCCUUUUAGAUUAUUUUAUACAGUCUCACGAAGCUUCUGGAUCCAUUACCGCAUCGUCCAGUGCAAGCUUCUCCGAAAUAUUGAGAUUUCACCUACCUAUUCUCUUUAGUUUUCUCUGAAAUGUGGAUAUGUUAUAUAUCAAGAUGUCCUUUACAAGUUUCAUGAAGAGAUAUAGGUCAAAUAACCAUAAUAUAGUCAUCAUUUAGGUCCUUGAAGUCUCGGGUAUCUCGGAAUACAUCACCAGAAUCAUCGUCUUCAAGAUCUAGUUGAUUUACUAGGAUAUUCUUGUUAAUUUCACUUAAAAUUUGAGUAUGUUAUAGUUUAAGAUAUUACAACUUUCAUGAAGAAAUCGAAGUGAUAUUCUCAACACAAACCAACAUGCAAUCACAAAUCCAGCAAGAGGUCAGUAAAAACUCUCCAGAUCUGAGGUCUCCGUAGGAUGAGACUUUAACCCCUCAAAUAUCCAUAAUUUUCCACUAAAUUUCAGUAUGUUGUAUUUCAAGAUGUUAGCUACAACUCUCAUGAAGAAAUUGAAGCCAAAAUCGGACUCUAAACACACAUGCAAGCUCAAACAACUUUCUGACUUACGUGAUCCAAGCAAGAACAGUCACCCCAUCCACACACAACUCAUCCAUGCUUCGGUAUUUCUCAUCUAACACCCAAGAAUUCAACAUGCAAACAACAUACAAGCAUGCAUGAGAAGCUAUAGGACUCCCACUUGCCUCUAGACCGGUCGGUCGACGGCGUAAGGCGGCGAACAUGGCGGCACACGGCGGACGGACGGCGGUUCCUCCUCCUCUCUCUCGGCCGCUUCCCCCUCUCUCUCUCGAAAUCUCUCUCUCUCUCUCUCUCUCUCUCUCUCUCUCUUUGGGCGAGCAAAUGACCGGCCACCCUUCUCUCUCUUCCCCUUUUUAUACCUUCAAAUCCUCAUGAUUAAUAAUGAUUGCUUUGCCUUAACCAUGGCCAAUGCAUGGCCUUUUUUGUGCCACUUGUUACAACACUUGCAUGCAUCAUGGGCCUUGGAGUUGGGCCAUCCAGCCACUCUUGGGCCUCCCCUUGGGCUGGUCGACAGCCCCCUUCCAUGGGCUUCUAUUGGGCCGACUAGCUUGGCCCAUCAAGGCUUCGGCCAAUGGGCCUAAGGCCCAUCCCAAAAAUUAACUUUCCCCCCCCCCCCUUUUUUUGAAUUUCUUCUAUAAAUAUUUUUUUUUAAAUUUCAAUUUUCAUCUUGGCCAAAGUCUUGGGGCAUCUUGUUUAUUGAAAUUUAAUUUAUAAAGUACAUGGCCAAGCAUAAAUUAUUAAUUUAUCAAAUUUAAAUUUUCACAAUCAUAUGCACAAAUCAUCUAAUUAAAAGACUAAUGGCUAAAGCAUAAGCCAUGGAAAUUUUUAUCACCUAAUUAGAGACUUUAACACACCUUAUGGCUUGUCAUUGAAUUUUGGGAUGCCACACACACACACACACACACACACACUUUAACACACCUUAUGGCUUGUCAUUGAAUUUUGGGAUGCCACACACACACACACACACACAUAUAUGUUUUUUUUUUAUAUCAAAGUCAUGGGUCGAUAACUUCUCCAUCUGCUGCAUCUCCAAUAUCCAGAUUGAAGCUACUUAACGGGUCAACUAAUUCUCCAUCAAGAUUUCGAUACUAGGCAAUGAACUGGAAAGGAACUCAUUCCGUGAAACCUUCUACGUCAACCCGUAUUGUAGAACUACACUUGGUAUAUAUUAUUCCAGGCUUUGGUUGGAGCACACUUUCAUAAAAAGCUUCAUUAUAUAUAAGGACUCCAUAAUGCAAUGGUUAAAGGGGUAUCCAUUUUGCAUGUUUAAAAAAUAAGAGGGAUGAUCAGAAGGCUAGUAAAUAAAAUCUCUAGUUUUAAGUUAGAAAUAUUAUCUCACCACUUCACUUGGUGCACACAAAAUGAAUGUGUAAUCAUCCAAUAAGUAUGAUACAAAUAUAAAUAGAUUUUACCUUUCAUUAUCUACCAUAAAAAUUAUCAACCAACAAAACGUCCAUCUAGACUCAUGCAUGUACACACCAUAUUUCACACAAAUGAUUUGGUUCUACGCAUAGUAAUGUAUUUUAUUUAUUAAUGCUUCAUCAUUCCAAAUACUCCCGGGAUAUCCUGCUACACGGGGCAUCCCAACACACGAGGUAUCUCAUCUCCGAUGCAUCCUGCAAUACUCCUUGAGGCAUCUCGGCACACAGGACUUCAUCACUCACCGUUAUAUGAGUGACAAGAUUACAUUAAUCUCAUUCAAGUUAUGAUAUAUGUAGACUCACAAGCAUAGCACACAUAUCCCAACUCAAUUUAAUGUAUUUGUUAAAUAACCGCAUAUGAAAUAACACACAUAUUCUGGUUAUUAAAGUCUGGAUAUUCAAAUGAACACAUUUUGAGUCUAGAUAUCGAGCAGGUUCUAGACAUCAAAAUUUGAUAAAUCAAAUGAGUAUAUUUUAAAUUUGAAUGAAUAAGCACAUUCUAAUCAUAAAGUCGGAAUAACCAAAAGGGUAAUUUUUAGCUUGAUAGAAACUUAUAGAACAAAGGAACAUAUCCAUCAAUGGAUUGAAUCAACAAAUGAACGGAUUUAAUGAGGAGUACAUUCAUAUUCAGUAAAGUCUAUCUGAACUAAUAAACAGACAUUCACGAAUAGAUUCACAAAUUGGCAAAUUCAGCAAGUGAAUAGGACUCACCAAUGAACAAAUUCGAGCAAAUUCACAAAUGGAAAAAAUUCUGUCAUAAGAAAUUCCAGCAGAAAUAAGUGAAACAAACCAAUUAUAACUGGUAGAAUUCUAAUAGAGCUAAACAGAACAAACAUGUAAUUGGUCAUCGAGAUGACUAAGACAAAACGACCAGAUUCUAACUACUUAAAAUGAAACAGAAAAAAGAAGAACAAACUUGCAAUGGGUUAUCAAGCUAAUUAUGGUAGAACGACCAAAUUCUAACUACCCAAAAUGAGAUAGAAAGAAACAUAAUGAACAUGCAAUGGGUCACCAACAUAAAGAUGGUAGAAUGACCAGAUUCUAAUUAUCCAGAAUGAGGCAAAAAGAAGUAGAGCGAACAUGCAAUGAAUUAUCAAAACAAAGAUGAUAGAAUGACCAAAUUUUAACUAUCCAAAAUGAGGCAGAAAGAAGCAGAACGAACAUGCAAUAGGUUAUAAAAAAUAAAUAUGGUAGAAUGGCUAGAUUCUAACUACCCAAAAUGAGACAGAAAAAGACAUAACGAAUAUGCAAUGGAUUACUAAGACAAAUACAACAUAAUAUUCUAGUUACCCAGAAUGAUGCAAAAUAAAGCAGAAUAAACAUGUAAUGGGUCACCAAGACAAAGAUGACAGAAUAACCAGACUCUAACAACCUAGAAUGAGGUAGAAAGAUGCAAAAUAAACAAGUAAUGAGUUACGAAGAUAAAGAUAAUAAAAUAAUCAUAUUCUAACUACCCAGAAUGAGGUAGAAAAAAACGGAACAAAUAUACAAUAGAUUAUCAAGAUAAGUAUAACAGAAUAAUCAGAUUUUAACUACCCAGAAGGAGGCAUAAAGAAACAGACCAAAUAUGCAAUAGGUUUUCAAGGCAAAUACAAUAGAAUGACCAUAUUUUGGGUACCCAAAACCACAUAGAAUGAACCAGAAUGAAACAGAACAAACUCACAACAAAUUAUCAAAGUCACUUAACAACCACCAUACCCACAUCAAAACUUCACCUCUCAUCCAACCAACCAAGAUAAAAGUAACUAAGUAGAUUUGAGCCAACUUAACAUUAUAAAUUUCACUUACCUAAACACAACUGCAAAUCACAAGCUACUAAAUGCUUUCCUCACCUUAGUAGCUCUUGAAUAUGAAUUUUGCUCUCCAAAUACUUGGAUUAAAAAGUAGAAUUAACUGAUGUAAUUUCUGUUUGAGUUUUGAGGGACCAAAAUGGGUUAUCUGGCAAGAUAGAAGAAAUUUUGUUUAAAUUAAUUAAGAUAAUUUAAUUUCUUGCAAUGUUAGGUGUAAAUUUGCAUGUUAAUAUUCAGCUUGAUGUGGCAAUAAUGCAAAACAAGGUCCUUGCACGUGGCCAAAGAAAAUUCAAGAAGAGGAUGAGUCAUUUGGGGGAUAAAUCAUGAUUUAAUCCUUGAUGUCGAAAUUAGUAAUGAAAAUAUUGUUUAGUAAAGACAUAUGGCCGUGCAAUGCAUAAUAUAAAGGCAAGUGGUCCUUUAAAAUUCUAAUUAAUAAAUUUUGUAAGGAAAAUGUAGGAAGAGAAAUGUAAUCCACUUCUUACACAUUCACUAGCAUAAGGUUAUCCACUAUUAUUAAUAAUUAACUAAAGUUUACACAAUUUAUAACACCAUUAACUAUUAAAGACAAUAAUAAUUUAAUUAAUACUAUUCUACUAUUAGCACAUGCAUAAUUUAAUUCGAAUGCUGAACUUGAGAUGAUGUACGUUUAUGAAAAUUACCCAUCACGUCUUCCGAAAUUAACAAUUCGACUAAAAUUUUCAUGUAAUCAUCCGAAUACUGAGGCAAAUAAUACUUAGUAGCUUAAACCCUAAGUAUUAUUAUCACUUUCUAAUAUUACAUAAUUACAAAUAUGGAAAUUUAGGAUGUCACUACAUGGACCCACCUAGCCUAUCUCAAUGUUGAAGGGUGUUCGUUCUCCUUCAGUGGACUGGGCUUCAAGGUUCGGGAAUCCUUCUACAGGCGUGCCGUACGAAGCCCAGGGUUGACUUGAGCUAGCCGCCUACGGGCCCUGAAAUGGAAACCGUUGGACUAGUGGCCAUUGGACGGGGCCGGAAACAUUUCCCGAAGCAAGGGCCGGAUCUGAGGUGAUUUGAGUCAUAGAUCGCACAUCUUCAGCCAUAUCAACCUCCCCUGGAUUUUGAAGUGAAUUCGGGUUCUCCUCCACUGAAGUAUUUCCUUCAGUAUUCUUGGCCAUGAUAGAGUUAAAUUCCUACUGUAGACUGUUUUGCUUUGCAAGCUUUGAGUUGUAGUAGCAAAAGAGAAGGAAGCAGAGGAAAUUUGUGGGCUUUGCGGAAGCUAGGUUGAAAAGAACAGCUCUAAUACCAUGUCAAAGUUUGAGGAAUAGGCCAAGAAGGUGAGAACAACUUAUAAUUUUUGUAUUCAGUCUUAUCUUUUAUAUUGUACAAGCUCGUAUUUAAAGUACAAUGUAUGUCUAACUAUGGAAAGAAUAAAUGAAGAUAAGUUAAAUUAAAUCCAAUCUUGGAUUGAUAUAAUCUAUCGAUUAUAAUCGCCUACAAUCUUGGAUUGGUAUCAAUCACAAUCUUCGGUUUGAUCACAAUCUCAUGUCCAAUUCUCACAUAUCUCCAACACAGUCUUAAGGAUUAAGUUUUUUUCACUCUGUCCCCCUCAACUUUGUCAACUUAUCUAAAUCUGCCCUAGAUAACUGACUUUCUAUCAAAAUGGGUGAAAACUAACUUAAGUAGUGUCACACUAGUCUUUUUAACUUUUCAAAAGGAGUGAAAGUAAUUGGUCACUCAAUCUAGUCUUUGCCACUGGCAUGGAAGGCUACAUGUUUCAAACAAACUGAGCAUGUUUAGUUUGUUUGUAAUUUUACGUAGUCCAAUGUUCUCUACCAAUUUCUCCAUCCUUUGACCAGGAGAGAAUUGAAAUUGAAGAUUUCUGCAUGAUAUAUAAUGAAAGUUCGCCUCACGUGGGCAGCACGAUUUGAUGCCUCAUAUACAUUACACUCACGUGAGUAGCAUGUGUGCAAGAAUGGGACAACAUAAGGCGAUAGAUACACAAAGUUCUAUCGACAUUUUGACUUAAAAACAGGCAAUUCGAGUGUCUUAAGGACGGAAUUCUUGGAUAGGAGGGUCAUAUCAUGAACUACGAAAAUCAAGGAUUGAAUCUUUGACGCCUUUUCACUCUUGUUACUGUCAAAGGAGCCCGUUUUCUCCAAUAAUUUAAUUAUUAGGAAACGGGUCACCAAUGUAUCUAUAACAUACCACUUAAUGGUACAAAAAUAUUCUGUGUCAUGCCUACAUCACCUAACAUGUCGGUGAAUAUGAUUCAAAAGUGAAUAAGCGAAGACAAAGAGGAACAAAAUGGAAACCCUCGAGUCCAUAAAUGAUGAAAUCCAACAUAGGAAUCUCGUAAAACCGAAAGCGAAGUACGAAGAACAUGAAGAAGGAAAUGAAAAGGCGAGUAGAUGGACAUGACACAUGUUAUGCCCAUGACCAUGAGCAAGGCCCAGCUUCGAGAAAGAACUAGAAGCCCAUAACCAGAACGUUCGCCCACGCUGACACCUCGUUCCAGAAAUCUCACGAACGUACGAGAGGACCUCCUCUUCUCUCCCAUAAAUACCCGGUGCGUCCCUCGCCUUCCGACAAGGAUCCAGCAAGAAAGCAUAUUACCAAUUAACUCCAAACCCGAGCAGAAGUCUAUCCCUCGCGUCCUCCGAAAUCAAGCAAUCCAUCCACUGUUACAGAGGCCAUGUCGCUCAUUCCCAGCUGGUUCGGUGGCCGACGCGGCGACGCCUCCGACCCCUUCUCGCUCGACCUCUGGGACCCCUUCAAGGACUUCCCUUUCCCUUCCUCUUCCCUCUCCGCCUCUCCUUUAAGGGGAAAUUCCGCAUUCGUCAACACCAGGAUCGACUGGAGGGAAACUCCGGAAGCCCACUUGUUCAAGGUCGAUCUUCCGGGGCUCAAGAAAGAGGAAGUGAAAGUCGAGAUCGAGGACGAUCGGGUGCUUCAGAUCAGUGGAGAGAGGAAGGUGGAGAAGGAGGACAAGAACGACAAGUGGCACCGUGUGGAGCGUAGCAGCGGGAAGUUCAUGAGGAGGUUCAGGUUGCCCGAUAAUGGGAAGAUGGAUCAUGUGAAGGCCUCGAUGGAGAACGGAGUGCUCACCGUCACUGUUCCCAAGGUGGAAGAGAAGAAGCCUGAGGUCAAGGCCAUUCAAAUUUCUGGUUGAGUCUGGAAUAGUAACUUGCGAGUGCUAAUGUGAAUUCGAGGCUUCGUGUGUGCAGAGUCUGUGAGCUUCGUCUCUUUCUUGUGUUUUUGGAGAGUUGUAUAAACCGGGUGUUGUCUCUGAUACACUGAUGUAAUCUGAACUAGCAAUACUUUUCUGGAAAAAAAAACUUUACGUUAAUGUGGCAAUUUCAGUUCCAUUUUAUCUAGUAAAUUUGAUUGCUCGAGUGGUGUCGCGACCAAUUUUUUUUGGGUAUGAACCACCUAGAGUUUGGCUAAUGGAUUGUUAAGCCUAGACUUAAUUCGGGCUCUCCCAAGCCCAUACCAAUUCGCGACUUUAGGUUCAAGUUUUUUUUAACAUGCAAAUGGAUUUUAUCUAGGAGUCGCCACUAAUCUAUUUUUGAUGGGUCGAUUAGAAACCCAAGCAAAGUAACGGGAGUUUUACUUUACUCCUACAAACCAGAGAUUUAUGAGUUCGGGGACUUGACUACGCUAGAUUUCGCUAACGCCCUUUCGGUACCUUUCUUUUUAUUUUGAAAAAUGUUUGGCAAGCGGUUUGGAUUGAUUUUAUCCCUAACAUGUGAUGCGAUCAUGCAGGUGCGUAAUCCAUCAAUUUAACACCCAAUAAAGCAAAUAGAAAAUGCAGGACUUACCUCGUAGCAAUGAAAGCAUCUGCAAUGUUAAUUCAAAAUCCACAUCAACAACCUUGGAUAUGGUUUCUAAUUAACACGCAAAUUCUCUUUUUUGUUUUAACUUAUUUAAUGAAAAUUAUGCAACAUGCGAUGCAAUAUUAACUAAAUAACCUAACUCUAAUGACAAGCAAUUUCUAAUUAAAUGCAUCUAACCAAAAUCACUAAAUGACGUGCAUUGUAUGAAACUAAUUCUAUAUGACGUGCACAUGAUUUUUAUUUUCCUAAUAAGCAUGCAAUCUAUUUAGGAGAAAUGAUCUAAACCUAUAAUAUGCAAUCUUUUUUGUAUUUUCGGGAUAAAUAAAGCAAUUAAAAGAUAAACACCAAAUCAUCCAUGGUCAUCAAAGAUAUUAUCCAUUGUUCGAGUUUGGAAACGAUAUCUAAUCAAACCUGAUUGUUUCGCUAAUAAAAUCGAUAAAUUGAUCUUAAGCCUUAAAGAUCAAGAUAUCGAUUUUAUUCCUGCUUGAUUAAUUAUUCCAUCUAAAGCCUUAUAGAGGGAAUAAAAAAUCAUAGUGUGGUUGCGAAUUAGGAAAUAAAUCCUAAUUGAAAGUUAUGUCUAUCACUCACGGAUAUGAAACUAGGUAGACAUAUAUUUGGCAAUAAAAUAUCCAAAUAUACUAGAGAUGUGCACCUUACCUAAUUUGAUGAUAUUCUUCCCGAAUUUGGACCAAGUGCAAUCGGACCGAGAUCGCGACCGAUUUUUUUUGACAGCGAACGGCGGCAAGGGUAUGUGCACGACGACGAUGCUCCACGGCGGUGGGGGUGCUUGGCAACGUAUCGGCUAUUCUUCCCUCAAAAUCUGUAGCCGCCACCUUCCAACCUCUUCUCGGUCGACUCGCCAGAAACUAUUCUUUUGCUUGCAUGAAAUAAAAUUAUAACACCCGUAACGUUACUAGCAAAUCUGGAAAAACACCUAAAAUAAUAAAAGUCCACCGAAAUUCUUAUGACUCCUCUUUGACCGUAGACUUCGGGGCAAGUGGUGAUGUCCAGAGAGCACACUUGCGCAUGAAUUGGCUUUUGUGGAUGAGCCUGGUCAACCAUAAACUCCACUGUCCCUCUGCUACGUCCACAUAUAUGUGUCCGUGUGUUGUAGAAUGCAAAAGUGGAGAAGACGUUAAUAUGGAGAUGAUCAAAAUGUGGGAUCAUCCAUGAGACUAUGCUUAAAUAAAUAAAUAAAAGACAUAUGGCGAGAUUUUAAUCAAAGAAGAAGCCAAGGCGUGAAUCGCAUAUCCCGUUCUGCAUGUGUCGUGUUCCCUUCACGUCUCUAUGCUGAGCGGGGGUUCAUCAGGAAGCAGCAAGCGUCUCAUGGGAAAAUUGCUGGCGCCAAUGUGCUUGGUUCGUCUCAAAGAACACCUAGCUUCGUCAAUGGGGGUUAGAUCAGAUCGGAUUUCGCCGAGGAGGGGUGCGGCAGCUCUUUGCGUUGUUGAUGCUGUGGGAGUUCAGAAUUAAAACAUACGUCUUCCACUUGAAGCGGCUUUGAAAGUUGGCUUGCGGAUCGAGAUCGGGGCUCAGCGUGGCAGCGCACGGCUGCAGUCUACGCUAUCGGCAAUGGCGGGCGUCUCGGCACGGUGCCACGGAUGGCGUUGGGAAGCAGCGGGAGGCAGCAACUCAAACUUGGUUCAGCAACAGUAACGGCUCGGGCUUUCGGCGGUGAUGGAGAUGCUGGCGUCGCGGGCAGCAAGCAGCAGCGUCGUCGUCGGUGUGGGCGUGACGAUGGCAAGGCUAUUCUCUCUCCCUUCCCAAUUGUGGCUUUCAGAAAAGACAAAGAAACUCUAUUUCUUUCCUCUCAAUGUGCCCACUCACGAUAUCUCUACCCAAUAGCCGUGUUUUCAAUUGCCUGACCUCCUCCUAAACCCUAGCGAAUUAACCUAUUUAUAGGCCACGAAUUAUGGUUUUUUUUUCAAUUUUCCAAAAUUAUAUCCACGAAUAUUUCUUUUCUAAAUGCAAUAUUUACUUUUAAAUUGAAAUCUUACAAAGGUAAAUCCGUAAAAUCUCCAUAAUGAUACGGGCUUGGGCUGAUUCGCUCUCUUCGUGGGCUUAGCCCGAUUCAUCAAUUUAAAAGUUCCGAGCCAUCAAUUCGAACCCACCUGUCACCGGCUCAAUGUAAAUGCAAAUUAAAGAUAAAUGCACCUAAAACUAUAUGUUAUGCAAUUAACUAUUUUUUUAGGGAUAAAAUUAACCCAUAAUUUUCUAUGCAAUAAAUAAAUGACCGGAUCGCCAAAAUUUAGGUGUCAACAAGUGGAUAUUUGCUUUACUCUUGAUCUUGCUUGCCUAUCUUUCAUUUGGCUUCAAGCUUCAGGAAUUAUUUGGAUUUUUCCUAGCUAGCAGUUUGCGUAGUGUAUUAUCCACUUGUUCACGAGUACAAGCAAUAAAGUGGGGACCAAAAAAGCUGCCAAUGAGAAGACAGAGAGAGAAAAACCAAGUGCUUCUUUAAAAAGUUCAAUUACUCCGAGCUUUCGCAAAUUAACCAUUUGGUGUGUCCUGUUUAUUUGUCCUUGAUUGUUGGGUCUGUUCUGCGUAAAUUUUCGAAGAGAGUAAAACUAACCUGAAUCAGCAAAAGCCUCUGUGUGUAAGAGCUUAACUCUGCAUAGCAUUUUAUAUCUUUGAUUGGAAAAGAGAUGAAGAAGAUGGAAAAUCAAGGGCGAGGUAAGAGAUUGGUCCUGGUCCCAGGACCAUUCUAGGGCCACCUCACUCCCAUGCUUCAGCUGGCAACUGUCCUCAAGUCGAAGGACUUCUCCAUCACAGUUGCUCACGCACAUUUCAACAGUCUAGAUUACUCUGUUUUCCCCGAUUUCACCUUCUUAUGCAUACCUGACGGCUUGUCUGAAGAGGAGGUUCAAAACCCUGAUCUGCAAGCCAUUAUUCUAAGGCUUAAUGUCAACCGUGAGUCCAGCUUGAGGGAGUACCUAACUCGGAGCACAAAUCAUAUGGGGCCGGGUGACAAGAUUUGCUGUAUCAUCUAUGAUGCAGUAGUGUACUUCUUGGAAGCUGUUGCCCACGAUUUGAAGAUUCCUAGCAUUGCUUUACACACAAGCAGUGCUGCUCCUACCAUAGUCCACCCGAUUCUUCUCCAGGUGAAGGCAUUCCGAUCCCAGGUACAUGUUGAAUUUCUCUUAUUUAAGUGACAAUUAUUUCUUUGUUAAUUAAUAUUAUGGUCACAGAGAAUCUUGCUCAUAUUCCGCUUUGUUUAUGAGGAUGGAUGUAUUGCCGAAAAUUUGUUGCAUUUUUAAAAUCUGUAUGUGUGACCCUCAGCAUGACCCUAUAGUUUAUGAUCCGAUGAGUCUCCUCUGUGCCUAUACCUUUUCUAAGACUGGUAUUUUCCAUUUGCAUUUAGUUAUAUAGUCAAAUAAAAUUUCAAAAAGAAAUUAUUAUAAUCAUAAAAUUCGAAGAAUGCCUCAUCAAAGUAAUCAAAGCUCAUCAAAGAAAUCAGAGACAUCCAAUGAUGCAUUUGUUACUUCAGGAGCAAGAUGAGUCCCACCAAGAGAGAUAUUAUUGGCCUCAAUGAUGGUUAUGGCAAUAGAAUUGAUUUUAAUGGCACGAGAUUCAUUACGCUUGCUCAUAUUUUUUUAAAGAUGUAUGGUAUAAAUCAACAAAAUACUUUGGCGUACAACAAGUACGUGACCAAUGUUUAGUCAUGCCAUAGCAAUAGCAAAUAUUUUCAUUAGUCACAUUCUUUGAUUUCUUUUCUUUGUUAUGAUUCGGGCCAAAGUUAGAUUUUCUAGGGCCGUUAUUUUUUGCCAUCCCUUCAAGGAUUAAGUUUUUGCCUGUGCUUAUAACCUUUAAAAUGGCCAGUAUUUUUCUCAAAGUUAGCAUGUGCUUCAGGCAAUACUUUUGAGCCAGUAGGUCUAAGAUUAUAAUUUUUUUGUAGCAAUUCAUUAGUUUGCUCAGUAGUGAGGAACACAUAAAUUAAUUCAGAGUAUGUGACAAACUGAUGCUAUUGCAAUAUAAUAUUCGAAGUAUGGAAGGUGAAGAAAGUUUUCUCUAAUAGUUCCGCAUCAAUGAGCUUGAUACUGCAUAACUUAAGCUGAGAAACAAUAUAAAAUAAAGCAGAGUUAUAGUCAGACACUGAUUUAAAAUAUUGCAGUAUGAGAUUUCGCCAAUCAUAUUGUGCUUGAGGAAUGAUAACAAUCUUCAUAUGAUCAUACCUAUCAUUCAAUCUUAGACCUUCAACCUCCUCCACAAGGUCUAAGGGUCUUGAAUAGAUAAAUAUUUAGUCUACAAGCUCUUAUGCAAAUUACAGUGAAUAAAAAUUAGUGCAUUUGUUUUAUCUUUUGCAUUUGAGGUUCCAUAUUCUGUAAUUGCGCUAGUAAGACCUUACCCAUGGAGGUGCAUUUUUAUGUCAAGGCACCAAGAUAGAUAAUUAUUUCUACUCACUUUCGGGAUGUGGAAUUUGGGCUUUUAAAAAAUAAAUCAUUAAAUUAAUUAGAAAGAUUUCCAAAUAUCCACCGCCACUUCAGGAGCAGAAUGAUGAUUUUAGAUUUGAAAUUGGCUUUGGGCCAAGAAAAAUAAAAAUGAAAAAUUGAUAGGAGAAGAUGAAGUAUAAGUUGAUUAAUGAAAAUAAAGAGAACACUUACCUUACAAAAAUUACUUACUCGGUCGGUAGAUCUUCGUGUUGAUAAUGUGUUGUAAAAUAUUGCGUUGUAGAUAUAUAAUACAAAGAAUAGAGAGAUUAACUAGAGAAAGCAAGUAAACACUAAAGAUAGUAGAGAAAGCCAUACACUAAAUAUUGUAGAGAAAGUCAGAGCAUAAAUUUUUAUUUUCACUUUAUCACCCUAUGUUUAUGACAAAAACUAAGCUCCUAUUUAUAAGAAAACAAUGAUGCACUUAUCAUUAAUGUUACACCUUGAUCCUCGAGCGCGUACCCAUCCCUCAGUGAUCGAUAAAUUUGCAACGUCUUAGGACGCGUUGCCAACCCAUUUAUUUUAUUACGCAUGGGAAAGCAAAACAAUUACCCAUGACAAUAACCAACGUAGGAUAGAAAAACAAGAAACAUAUUUACAACCAAAAUACUUUUAUGAACACCCCGGUUUAUAUACAACAUUAGACUAAAGACAAAAGUCUACAAAAGACCGUCUCUCAAAACGAAGCUAUUCUAUGACUAGCUAACCGGACACAUUUGCCGAUCCUUCGGUCUCUACAGGCUCUAGGGGCGUUGGGUCCUCUAUAGCAUCACCAGGAGGGUUAGCUGCACUCUCACCUAGAGUGGCAUCGACUAUUAUAGAGAGAAUUUCAAAAUCCUGGAGGGGACUCACACGGAAUCCAUUGAAACCGUAGCGAAACCACGCUCUGAACUAAUGAGGUACCCUCUGAGGUAGGCUCUUAUCGACCCAAACGAUGUCACCACGAGUUCAUAGACCCAUUGACCCCCUGGGGCAUGGUAGUCAAAACUCCGCUUGGUAACUCUUAUAGGCCGACCAAAACAUUCCAGAGAAAUCGUCAUCUAAGGACCUGAAAAGGUUGAGCCCACAACGGGGUGAAACAAUAUCUCAGCAAGUUCACCCCCUAAAUUCCGACUAGAAAGGAAAUACGCUUAAAGGCAGCUAUACACACAAGUCAGAAGACUUAUCUUAUCUCAGUUCUCUCCUGCAUGUCAGUACAGUUCAUAAUCUUAACCAAACAAUUCAAUACAAUCGAUAUGAUCAAUACCAUCUAUCAAUUCAAUCAAUUCGAUCACUGCUCACAUAAGCUGAGGUAUGUUUAUGCUCGCACAAGCUAAUAUAGAUGGUUGCUCACACAAGCUGAUCUACAUUAUAGCUCAUACAAUCUGAUAUAUAUUAUUGCUCUCACAAGCUGACAUAUCAAUGCUCACACAAGCUGACGACCAUUGUUCACACAAGCUGACGAUUUAAUGCUCUUACAAGCUGACAUACGAUAUUGCUCACACAAGUUGAUGAUUCAAUAUUCUCACAAGCAGACGUAUAAUAAUGCUCGCAUAAGCUAACGUACAAAUUGCUCACACAAGCUGACACACGAUCAAUCAAUUCUAACCAAGGACGUGGUGCUUUGCACACCAAUUUCUCAAUUAAAAUUACUUGGCCUAUUUUCAUCGAAUUAAAAAUACCCGAUAAAAAUAAUCAUGUGUGGAUACAUGGUUAAUUUGAACCGAAAAUGCAAUAUCUUACUUUUUGAAAAUCUCACUAUUUAAAAUAGUGCAUAAACACAUUUUCAACGUUAAAACUGACGCCAACCACUAGGGGUUCGCCCCAGUGGCCACCCUUUCAACUUGGAAAUGGGAGGUGGAGGUUCAAAUCUCCACAUUCUCAAGGGAGAUUGGGGUGGAGACGAUUUCAUUUCAAGAAUGGGUUUCGACUCCCACGCCCUGCAAGGAGGUAGAACAAAAGUUUGAGAGUGAGUGUUAAAAUAGGAUUAGAGGAUGACCAAAAAAAAAAAAAGGUUAAAACUGAUGCCCCGGUAUUUUCUGAACAAAAUACCAAAAUUUCACAAUUUUGGAAUAAAUACCCAAAAUUAUAAUUUCCACAAAAUAGCAUUCAGUUGUAGAAACUAAACACACCAUUGUAAUUAGCACGAAAUUCCGAUUACCAGCUAUCUUGAUAUAAUUUUCAUAAAAUAAUAAAUAAUUAAAUAAAUACAAUUAAUUACCAAAAAUACCAACUUAGGCCAGAAAUGCUUUUAAACCGCCUGAAUAGGCCAGGAAAAUUUUUGAACCUAUCUAGAUAAAUAGUACAAUUUAUCUAGUCCUUAAUUAUGCUAUUUUAACCACCUAACAUACACAAUUAAAUAAUUAAAUCACUAAUCCAUGCUAACUAACCACCUAAACCAUACUUAGCCUAAACUAAUCACCUCCUAAGCAUCAUUAACUCAUCAAGCAUAGUUUAGUAAGUAAACUUAUCGGUUUAGUGAUCCGGUGAGUCCACGACGUCGGCGACGCAGAGACAAACGACAACCAAGCUCACAGCGACACUAACGGAGGACCAAGUGGGCCUGAAAACAGGCCUAGAAGUCUCAGCUCUUACUGAAACUUCUGCUUCUGAUCUUGGCUGUAAGGUCUGGUCGAAGGGGCUGCUAGCUAGCUGGAACGGCUCGAAAGGAGAGGCAGAGGCUGCUGCGGGCAACAACUGGCAACGGUGAGGCUUCGACGGCAACCAAGGAGGCUCAAGGGAUGGUGAGGUUGCUUAGGUGCAAGCGGACGGGCGCGCAAACGUGCGAGCAAGUGGGACAAUGCACGACAGGCUCGGGCGGAGCAAGUGGCGACUCUAGUGGCUUCUACAGUGGUCGACGGGCUAGGGGAAAGGGAUGCUUUGUGUUCCUCUGGUUUUCUAAGCUCUCUCAAGCCUCAACAAUGGGGAAAGUGAUGCUGCUGAGGAAGAAGGAGCCAACUGCAGCUUUGAGGGUCCCAAUGGCCAAAAUAUCCUCUUAUUUGAUCAUUGCUUGCCCCCACCACUUCAGCCCUAUCCUCAGCCAAAUUUGCAACACCAAAAUUCCCCUAGAAGCUUUCCCAAGAGGUCCAAAAUGUUGUCUCCCCCAUGGCCUACGAAUUUUGGACCCAAUCCCCUCAAAUUGAAUUAAUUCCCCUCAAAUUGAGCUCAAUUUGAUGUCCAUAAAUCUAUCCCAGGUGCCAUCAUCCAAAUCAAUAUUUUUCCUCAUCAAUUUUUCCUACUUCAAUCCCAAAAAUGCCACCAAAAAUGGCCCUUUGAUUUUCCCGGUAAAAAACGGCCCUAUUUUAAAAUUUUGCCAAAAAUCUCGGCUUGCAGAAAAAUCUUCUAGUCUUAAAAUAAAUUGUGACAUAACAAAACUUUCAAUUUCUAAAAUCAGGUUUAAAUUCGCGGUUAAUUUCAACCGAGCACGAUUUUAGUGUGACAUAAUCUACCGGGUAGCUUUUAGCAAUUUUUAGUACAAUUGACCCGUGGUCAAUUAUUUUCGAGCCACAUUAUACAUCUUCGACACAUUGACGACUCUCGAUUGUCAUGAAAAUCUCGAGAUUUCAAAUACUAACACAGGGUACCAAAACAACAGAAAAAUCGGUCUAGUGUCAAUCGACAAUAAUUUUGUAAUUAUAUGGAAUCACCCAUACUCAAUCACAUGACUCAAUCGAGUCGACCUAUCUCCGUUCUCUCAUCGGUUUUUAAUUGUGCUGUAAUAACCCUUGUAGAUUAGCACGGUCGAGCACGAUUUCUAGUCGAAUUCUCAAGUCUAUUGCGUUUAGAUUCCUUAAUGGCUUCACCUAAUAGACUAGCUAUCUUGUGAGUGAUCAGUUCGAGGAAAAGAAAUAAAGGCGUAUCGAUGAAAAGCCCAACUUAUUCAAUUAAAAACAGAACCUGAAAACUAGGAUGUCACAAUUAAUAUCAAUGUAUUAAAUAAAACAUAUAUUGGAUAUGAAGAUGAACAUUUAUUGUAUAAGGAGAUGUACUUAGAAUGUCAGAUACAAAUGUACUAUACUAAAUACGUUAGAUAAUAUGAAUAUAAUAAAUAUUCAUUCAUAUAUUUCAUAACAGUAAUUAGCCUUUUAUUUCCUCGUGACAAUCAUCAGAUUAGAGAGAAAUGAUCAAAUUCACUAGUUCCUCUAUUGCAGUGUGCGAAGAACCACUUUUUUUUAUGCUCAACUCGAUUUGGUCUUUGAAAGCCGCGGCUCUCAGCCUCAUCUCUUUCCCUUCCUCACCAGCCAUCAGCCUCCUCACAGCUUGCUCUAUCUCUUUCUGGUCUAGAUCACCCUCCAACUCCAAUCCCACCCUCCAAACGUGGCACAAGUACCUUGCGUUCACAUUCUGGUCCAUGAAGCACGGUCGGCAUAUCAUCGGGACUCCUUCGGAAAUGCUUUCCAAGGUUGAAUUCCAUCCACAAUGGGUCCAAAAGCCUCCCACGGCACGGUGUGCUAAAACAUCCUUCUGUGGAGCCCAUCUCACAACACGGCCAGUAUCUCCUAUGGCUUCUUUGAAUCCUUCUGGCAACAGCUCGAUCCAUUCUGAGCCUCUGACUGAGCCAGGUCGGACUGCCCACAAAAAUGGUUGGCCGCUGUUCGCCAGCCCCCAAGCUGUCUCUGCAAACUCUCUUUCAUCCAUUGAAGCCAAGCUUCCUAAGCUCACAUAUAUGACUGAAUUAUUAGCUUGCUUAUCAAGCCACAACAGGCAAUCGGUUUCUUCUUCCAAUAUGCUGGUUGGUGAAGCUGGAGCAACUUUGUGCAAUGGGCCUAGUGAGAAAAAUGGCACAUGGCAUUUUUUCUGGACUUGGUCUGAUAACUGUUUCUCCAGGCAGUCCACUGUGUUCCAAAGAAUGGCUGAAGAUGUCUUGAUAUCGAGCAUCAUAGCUAUUACUCGCAUCAUUGGUUCUGGAUCGCCAUUAAAAAGAGGCAGGUCCUUGCAUCUCAAGGGAUAAGCGCCUGGAACUGGAUCUUUCGACGAAUGAUCUGUAAAGUCAAAAAUACUGCUGCUUAGCAUGUAUUGUUUCUAUGAUUUCAUAGUCUGAUGAAAACAUAAAAACUAGUCCGAAAUUUGAAUAUUCCAGCAAGUUAAAAAAGAGAUGGUCCUUUUAUUCUAUUUUGUAUUUAGUGGACAUUCUUUCUUCCUUCCCAGUCGGAUUGCUCUACAUAAAGGCGAGAAUAUGAUCUUUCACAAGCAGUUUCAGCAUGUGUGGUGCCGUUGACUUCACUUACGUGCCGUCUACUCUGAUUAAACGAAGAGGUAAUAGGUGGUUUUGACAGCUGGGCUAAUGUCUACUGAGUGGUUCGUCUUCUGGAAAACGAGUCGCCGUGAAGACCUAGUAUGCUUUCCUUGUUUUUGCAGCAAGUGCUUUUUACGAAAACACAAAGAUACCCUGUUAAAGUACCACUUAGUGAGUUGAAGAAAAAGAAAAUUACGAGCCAAACUCAAAAUGUGUCAUCAUGGACUAAUGAUUAGUUGAGUCUCUAUUUAGCUUGGCUAAACAAUGUCUUCAAAUUUUGAAGAGACCCUAAAUUUUGCUGUCGCAUUUCUCUGUGAUACAACUAAAUUUUGCUGUCGCAUUUCUCUGUGAUACAAACACAAUCAAAUGAGAAGCCCUUCCAGUUCAUCGGAGUUCCACCAUAGAAAGUGCAUUCUUAACAUCCAAUUGAUGCCGCAUGCUUGUUACUCUUGAUUUCUAGUGAAAUUACUGCCAAACUACAUCACAGAGGUAACUAGAAGUUUAUUGCGCAUACUGAUAUCUGAUGGUUUAUUAUGUCUAUAUGAGGAUUGAACAUACCUUUUGGGGGAAAAUAACCUUCCCUUCGGAGCCAAGGCAAUUCGGAGAAAAUCAGCUGAGUGCCGAUACUACUAGUGCGCAAAGCCAUGCGAGGAAGUUUCAUAUAAUGAGCUGCAGCGUCUGCACAGUACAUCAGCGUAUCAUAAAUCACGCAAGAGAUUUUACUCUCGGUUGCUUCAUCCUGUGCCAUCAUAUCUGACAAUAGUUGGCGGAGAGGUCCUUCACAGUUGGUGUUGAGACUCGCGAAAAUAGCCGCAGCAUCCCCGGAGGAGAGGAAAUCCUUCGGUAAGCAAUUGGGAAUAGGUGCAAAGGUAAAAUUGGGGAAACCAGAUGGAUGGGGAUGAUUGAAUUGAGUGUGAGCUAUUACAAUGGAGAAGCCCUUGGAAUGUAGGAGGGACGCCAAAUUGAGCAUCGGGGUUAUGUGUCCUUGAUAGGGGCAGGCGACUAGCACCAAUCUACGAUUGCUUCUCUGCCCUCGUUCCUCCAUUUCUCUCAUGGGACUACAACCAGAGCCUCGGUCCUGGAUGAACUCAUCAAAUGAUUGGUCUUAUAUUCAAUACUGGGUCGUAAGCGAAAUGUUAUGGAAAACAAGAAGAAAUCCUCUUAUUAAUUUGUUUUUCUCGUGCAGUAACAUAAAAAAAUGGUAAACAAAUUGAUUACUUCAUUGAAGGGAGACGGGCUAACAAAAAAACAGUUGUCGCACCAUGAGACGUGGAGGAAACACCUCCCCUAGGACACCAGAAUUUUUUUUUCCUUUCAUGUCUGGCUUUGUUUAAUCUCAUGUGAGAAUAUUCUUUUGCUCCGGGAAGAUCUCUAGUUAAUUUGAUCCCAUCCCAAAACGAGCUCUUAUCUCUUUGCAGAUUCGAUUUAUUUGGCUGCUGAGGCGACUCCCCUUAUAUGAUGGCAUUGAAGUCCGCUGCUACUGACGACACCAGAAGCUCAUUAUUCAUAUGAAAUGGAGUGAGUAUAGCUUGUUUUGAGCACUAGUGCUUGUAACCUUCUUGAAAAAUCACCAUAUGGAAGCAUUAUCUCGUAUGUAUGUAUGUUUUGUAGCUGAAGCUCACAACCUUAUGUAAGCUGACAAAGCUUGUCUUACUCAGACAGCUAGAGCAAGCAGGACUCAGAAGCAAAAGAGUUGCGAAGUCUGCAUCCUUUCAGACACCUUUCUAUUUCUCGAGACAAAAUCAAGCGUAUCAAAAAGCAGCUUCAAAAUUCAGCUGCUGCGAAAGUCAAACUGAUCUGGGGGGCUUCUCAUAUUCGUUUUCGUGAUAUGAGAAAUACCGAUGUUUGUUAAGUAGAAAGUUCAAAGGGAACUAGCAUCCAAAGGCCUGAUAGACUCAGAUAUGAAAUCAAUUUUUUUUUAACUGAAAGCUUCAUAAAGACCAAUAAUGCUCCUGCUUCUUCCUGUCGUCGAAUGACACGAGCAGUCUCAUUGGGAUUGACUUAAGAAUGAAUGUUCCUCCUCGGGAUGUUAUCUCUACAACAACAGGAACAACCAAGCCUUGUCCCAUUAAGUGGGGUCAGCCAUAGGAAUUCUAUCAUGCCGCUGUGCUUGAUUUUUUGUUAGAUUUUCUAUGAACUCUUCCACGUCUUUCUGGGAUUCCCCCUACUCCUUUUAACUAAUACAUCCUGUCUUCAUUCACGUUACCUCGCCGGGGCACCUGAAGGCCUUCGUUCGACAUUACCUAAUAAUCUCAUACGGCCUUAUCUCAUCUGAAUGCCUUCGAGAUGUUAUGCUGAGAUCUAGUGGCCACACUCAGUUGUAAAGCCAUGCACCAGGCAAAAUGGACAGACUAUAUGAGAUUUACAUUGGUUGCAUAAUCUCAAAGAUCUAGGAAACCUACUUUCUAUCAGAAUAGGUGGAGACUAAAUCACGCGUUCUCACAUGGGUCUUUUCAGUCUCUUUAGAAAGGUAAAACUAAAUAGUCACUCAACCUCCUCUUUACCACUGGUAUGGGAAGGUUGCAUGUUUCAAAUAACUGUUCAAAACAUCUAGAAUUCCAGGGGAGUUCUAAGUUUUCUCUAACAUUUCUUCGUUACACCAAUGACAUAAGUUGUUCAUGAAUUUUGGUCAAAUGUACAAUAUCGUCCAUGAACUUUUAAUUUGUUUUAUGUUGUUGUUAAACUUUAGCCCAAUGUGGUACGAUCUUUAAACUAUUAAUAGAUGUUCAAUUUAAUCUCCUAGAUUAUGUCAAAUUGACAAAAAUGGAAUGACUCUAUGGAACAUUCAUAAGUAGUUUAGGGAUUAUUGAACAGAUUAAAAGUGUGAGGACGAUAUUGCAUAUUAAGUCAAAUUUCAAAAACUACGUUGCACAAAUUAAAAGGUCAAAGACAAUAUUGUAUAGUAGAUCAAAGUUCGGGGACUAUUUGAACUAUAAUCCCUUCUUUGGUUGAGAAACGAAAGAAACCUGAGAUCCUAGACUUAAGACACUUUAUUGGAAAAGGGUAGUGGUAGAGACAUUUGUUUUCUUUUCAACAAUAACUUUCUCUUCUUCACAUUGUGAUGUAAGUAAGCUAUUCCACACAAUAUACAGUUUUAGGUCGUCUCACGUAGGGCCGUAUGAAUUGGUGCUUCACUACAUUAUGCUCACAUAAGUAGCAUUUGUAAUUAUUGCACAACAUAAAGUGAGAAACACACGUCGAACCGAUCUUUUAACUUGAGUAGGCAAUUUAGGCGAGCCUAAGACGGAAUUUUUGGAUAGGAGGGCCAUAACCAUGAACAACGAAAAUCCCGGAUUGAAUUCUCGACACUUUCUUGCUUUUGUCAUCAUCAGAGGAACCUUUUUUUUUUUAAACGCUUAAGCGAUUAAAAACGGGCCAACUAUGAGUAACGUAUGAGUUCAGUUAUUUCCAGGAUCAUUGAAGUUGAACAAAAACAUUCUAUGUAACACCUAUAUCACACGACAUAUCGAUGAGAUGGCGCUCAACCAAAUCAAUUAUUUUUUAUUAUUAAAAUGAUCUUCAAAUGUGAAUGCGCGAUGGCAAAAAGGAACAGAAUUGACAGACAAAUAUGAGGAAGGGUAAGAGAAGGCGAAGUAGUUGAACAUGUUGCGCAGCUUCGAGAAAGAGCCAGAAGCCCAUAACCAGACGCUCGCUCAGUCUUACACCUCGUUUCGGAAAUCUCAUGAACGCCCGAGAAGACCUCCUCUUCUCCCCAAAAAUACCCAGCACGUCCCUCUCCUUCCGACAAGGAUCUAGAAAGCAAGCAAAUUCCCAAGAAACUCCAAACCCGAGCAGAAAUCAAUCCCUCGCGUCCUGCAAAGUCAAGCUUCAUUCCACCGACUUAUUCAGAGACGAAGUCGCUCAAAGUUCCAACUUCAGGAUUUGUUGCCAGAGGGCAUCUUUGCUUUACUCCUUGAUUUUGUUCGCUUGUCUUUUGUUUGGCUUCAUUUCAGGAAUUAUUAGGGAUUUUCCUAGCCAGCAGUGUAUAUUUUAUCCACUAGUUCACGAGGACCAGCCAGGGAACAGGGUUGACGUGAUAUUCCCUUUAAUUGCUCAUCCAAAUAAAUUAUCUGAAUCAAGAUGCUGUGAACCAGGACAGCUGCCAAGAAGCACAAGCCCCAGAGAGAGAGAGAGAGAGAGAGAGAGAGAUUCUCUAAAUAUUCAUUAAAUGCCUUGUCAACUUGACCACAGGGAGAGAGAGCGAGCUUCUCUAAAUAUUCAGCAAAUGCCGGGUCAAACUUGACCACAGACGUUUACAAUAUGCUUCUAUUCGUAGCUUACGCAAAUUGACCGUUAGGAGUGAACUGCUUGCUUGUCCUUCAUUACUGGGUCUUCGCAUCCUCCGCUCCAUUACUUCUCAUAUAAUUAGACUUUCAAAGAGAGUAAGACCAGCCUGGAUCAGCAAAAGCCCGUCUUCAAGGGCAUAACUUCGCAUAGCAUCUGAAUAUCUUCGAUUGUAAAAAGGAUAGAGAGGAUGGAAAGUUGACAGUAAGUGUCGUGUCAAAUUUGACCACAGGAGAGCGAGCUUCUCUAAAUAUUCAGCAAAUGCCGGGUCAAACUUGACCACAGACGUUUACAAUAUGCUUCUAUUCGUAGCUUACGUAAAUUGACCAUUAGGAGUGAAAUGCUUGUUUGUCCUUCAUUACUGGAUCUUCGCAUCCUCCGUCCCGUUACUUCUCAUAUAAUUAGACUUUCAAAGAGAGUAAGACCAGCCUGGAUCAGCAAAAGCCCGUCUUCAAGGGCAUAACUUCGCAUAGCAUCUGAAUAUCUUCGAUUGAAAAAAGGAUAGAGGAUGGAAAGUUGACAUUAAAUGCCGUGUCAAACUUGACCACAGGGAGGGAAAGCGAGCUUCUCUAAAUAUUUAGCAAAUGCCGGGUCAAACUUGACCACAGACGUUUACUAUAUGCUUCUAUUCGUACAUUUAUAAAUAUUCUUUUAACCAUUAAAUUUUUACAAUUAUAACCAACAUACUUUUGCUUCUUUUAUUUAUACUACAUAUGAGUUCAUAAGUUCAUUAAAUUACAAGCAAAAUAAUAGAAGUUUGGGUAAGGGGUAGGGAGACCUAUCUCCAAACUACAUUGUAGUUCCAAAAAUCUGUUUAUGCAAAUGACUAGAUCGAGUCAUGGAUCAACAACUUCUCUGCCUACUGCAUCUCCAACGUCCGAAUCGAAGCUACUUAACAGGCCAACUAAGUCUCCAUCAAGAUUUCAGUACUAGGCAACGAACUAGAAAUGAACCCACUCCACAAAACCUCCUACGUCAACCCAUAUCUUAAAACUACACCUGGUAUAUAUUAUUCUAGACUCUUAUUCAAGUACACUUUCAUAAAAAAGUUUCAUUAUAUACAGGGACUCCAUAAUGCAAGGGUUAAGAUGUGUCCAUCUUACACGUUUGAAAAAUAAGAGGGAUGAGCUAAAGCUUAGUAAAUGAAAUCUCUUGUUUUGAGUUAGAAAGAUCAUAUUAUUACUUCACCCGGUAUACACAAAAUGAAUGCAUAAUCAUCCAAUAAGUAUAAUACAAACAUAAACAUACUUUACUUUUAUUUUCAUCUACCACAAAAAUUGUCAACCAAGAAAACGUCCAUCCAGACUCAUGCAUGUGCACAUCAUGUUUCACACAAAUAAUUUGGUUCUACUUAUAAACAAGAUGGUUUUAUUUAUUAAUACUUCAUCCUCCCAUACACUCCCAAGGUAUCCCGACACAUAAGACAUCUCAUCUCUAAGGCAUCCUGCAAACUUCUACCACAAGGCAUCCCGACCCAUGAGGCAUCUUGAAACACUCCUCGAGGCAUUGUCACUCACCACUAUAUGAGUGAUGGAAUCACAUUAAUCUCAUUCAAACCAUGAUAUAUGCAUACUCACAAGUAUAACACAUAUAUCUCAACUCAAUUUAAUGCAUUUAUCAAAUAACUACAUAUGGGAUAAUACACAGACAUAUUCUGGCUAUUAAAUUCUAGACAUUCAAACGAACACAUUCUGAAUCUGAAUAUCGAGCAAAUUUUGGAUAUCAAAAUCUAGUAAAUCAAAUGGGUAUAUUUUGACAUGUUUAAGAUAUGCACUACUAACACUUAAAUAAAUAAAUAAAUAAAUAAAUAAUACAGAUUAUUAGAAAUGUGUUUGGACAUAUGUAAGUGUGAUCAAAUGUGUCUAAAUUAUACUUGUCUUAAUCCAUAUUUAAUGAGCUGAGUUGUUAAAAGUAUUAGUUAUAUUUAGUUAAUGGUCAUAAAUGGGUUUAGACCUAACUCUAUGGGUCAUAAAUCAAUUUAAUAUGGUUGUUAAAUAGGUUUUACAACUUACUUGGAUUUGACUCACUUUUAUAACUCCCUCUCCAUUCUCUCUCGAUAUCGGGCACUCCAUACUUUUAUCUUAUAUUAGGUAUGGAUUUUCUUAAGUUGAGUUAAAUAUACAAGUGUUUUAGCAAUAUUGAUUAGGUCAUGUGUGAAUUGAGUAUUGGGGUUAAGUUGGGUAUAAGUUAUUAAGUUUAUAUUGCAUAAAAAUGAGUCAAAGCUAAUUAAAUGAAUUAAUUUGAGUUGGAUAAUUUUUUGACCCAACCCAAAUUCGAACCCAAAUCACCAUUUGACUAGUCUAGUCUAAAUAUAUCCAAAGUGCAUUGUGUUCACCUAAUUAACUUGUCAACUGUAUUAUCAAACUUGUUUAAACAUGCCAUGGAAAGAGUCGAUUCAGUUGUGAUACAUUUAGCUUUCGUGUACAAAAAUAAGCUGUUUCUUUUACGACACAAACGUAUAUAAGGUUGACAUGAGCAUACUCAAUGAUGUGUCAAGUGAACGGGUAGUGUCAAUAUUUGCAUUUGAGAUUGAUCAACAUGCCCUACUAUUAUUUUCGAUGAAUGUCGUUACAAUUCAAAAAAAAAAAAAAUUAUAAGAAAGGGGGAAUGCACAUGCCAUGGAAAGAGUCGAUUCAGUUGUGAUACAUUUAGCUUUCGUGUACAAAAAUAAGCUGUUUCUUUUAUGACACAAACGUAUAUAAGGUUGACAUGAGCACACUCAAUGAUGUGUCAAGUGAAUGGGUAGUGUCAAUAUUUGCAUUUGAGAUUGAUCAACAUGCCCUACUAUUAUUUUCGAUGAAUGUCGUUACAAUUCAAAAAAAAAAUUAUAAGAAAGGGGGAAUGCGAAUGUAAGAUAUUAACAGGAUCUCUUAUUGAUUGACAGCUCUCUUUGUCCGACCCAAGCUAUCUGUUGCACUUUAAUUUAAUGGCAAAAAAUUGGGAGGGCACAGAGCCUGCGAGGGACAUAGAUUCACUACGGUGGUGAAAUUCAAUUGCUGAGAACCGGUGGCCAUACCGCUUUCAGAUGUAAAGCCGGAUAUCAGGCAAAAUAGACAGGCCAUAUGAGCUUUCCUUUGGUUGUCUUUUAAAGGACUUUCCUCGUUUGGAUUACUUUUCAUAGUGUGGGGAGCUGGCUUUUUUUAGGUUGUUACCGUUUGACUUUGUAAAUUAUUUGAAAUCCACCCCAAAUAACCUGAACUUCUUUCAAAAUGGGUGAAAACUAAAUCAUGUGUUGUCACGCGGGUCUUUAAAGUCUUUAAACUAAGAUGUUCACUGAACCUGUUGUUCACCCCUGGCAUGAGAAUGUCACAUGUUUCCAAUAAGCAAUCCAGAUUAACUCAUUUAGAAGGGAGUCCCAACUCCUAAGGUUCCCUCCACCAUUUUUCCUUCUCUGGUCGAGGACACGAUUGAAACGGAAGAUGCUGGACUUAUGGCCUUUACUAGAAAAAAGUGAUGGUAGAGAUUCGUUUUCAGCGACAAUUCUCUUCUUCAUGAAACAAUUGUCUUCAUGAAGUUAUUGAUGCAAGAAAGCAAUUCCAAAUGAUACUCGAUGAAAGUUCGGCCAUGUGAGGCGGCGUGAAUAGCAUGGAUGCAGCUAAUGUGCAACAUAGGGGUCAAACACACAAGUUCAAUUGAUCUUUUGACUUGAGUAGGCACAUAUGGAAAAUUUAGGAAGAAAAUUUCAUAUCCGAGGGCCAUUGCUAUGAAUAAUUAAAAGAAGCUAGAAGCCCAUGACAGAUUAUGUCCGAUCGUCCUUGAGCAAGGCCCAGCCUCCAGAAAGAGCUAGAAGCCCAUGACCAGAACGUUCGCUCAGGCUUAAACCUCGUUCCAGACGUCUCACGAACGUACGAGGAAGACCCCUCCUUCUCCCUAUAAAUACCCAGCACGUCACUCCUUCCGACAAGGAUCCAGCAAGCAAGCAACCAAAUCACCAAGAAUCUUCAAAGCCGAGCAGAAAUCUAUACCUCGCGUCCUCCGAUAUCAAGCUUCAAUCCACCGACUUUUUCGGAGACCAUGUCGCUCAUUCCCAGCUGGUUCGGUGGCCGACGCGGCGACGCCUUCGACCCCUUCGCGCUCGACCUCUGGGACCCCUUCAAGGACUUCCCUUUCCCUUCCUCUCCCCUCUCCGCCUCUACUUUCCGGGAAAAUUCCGCCUUCGUCAACACCAGGAUCGACUGGAGGGAAACUCCCGAAGCCCACGUGUUCAAGGCCGAUCUUCCGGGGCUCAAGAAAGAGGAAGUGAAAGUGG
This 81967-nucleotide long non-coding RNA is filed under the name Eucalyptus grandis. RNAcentral describes it as "long non-coding RNA (EGRA_LNC006028)". The record is from RNAcentral. Lineage: Eukaryota; Viridiplantae; Streptophyta; Magnoliopsida; Myrtales; Myrtaceae.